CAGUGAGUUUACAUGUUAGAGGGAGUGGGGUAUAGUGACACAGUAACAGAGGGAUUGAGGGCAUGCUCAGUGAGUUUACAUGUUAGAGGGAGUGGGGUAUAGUGACACAGUAACAGAGGGAUUGAGGGCAUGCUCAGUGAGUUUACAUGUUAGAGGGAGUGGGGUAUAGUGACACAGUAACAGAGGGAUUGAGGGCCCUGCUCAGUGAGUUUACAUGUUAGAGGGAGUGGGGUAUAGUGACAGUAACAGAGGGAUUGAGGGCCCUGCUCAGUGAGUUUACAUGUUAGAGGGAGUGGGGUAUAGUGACACAGUAACAGAGGGACUGAGGGCCCUGCUCAGUGAGUUUACAUGUUAGAGGGAGUGGGGUAUAGUGACACAGUAACAGAGGGAUUGAGGGCCCUGCUCAGUGAGUUUACAUGUUAGAGGGAGUGGGGUAUAGUGACACAGUAACAGAGGGAUUGAGGGCCCUGCUCAAUGAGCUUACAUGCUAGAGGGAGUGGGGUAUAGUGACACAGUAACAGGGGUUUAGGGCCCUGCUCAAUGAGCUUACAUGCUAGAGGGAGUGGGGUAAAGUGACACAAAAGGUAAGGAUAGUAUUAGGGAAGUAGAUUGGUAGAAUAGUAUUCAAUGAAGAGGUUUUUGGAGCCAUUAACAGUUUGAUAUGCUUUUGAGAAAAAGUGAGUUUUUAAUAUUUUUUUGAAGGAGUGGAGACUGGGUGAGCCUCUAACGGAAAAGGGAAGGGAGUUCCACAGGAACGGUGCAGCCCUAGAGAAGUCUUGAAGGCGAGCAUCAGAGGUGGGAGUACGGACAGAGGAUAGACGCUGGUCUUCGGCAGAGCGUAGGGGCCUAGACGGGACAUACUUGUGUAUUAGGGAGGAUAGAUAGGUAGGAGUAGCAUGGUGUAGAGAAUAAAACAGUGUUUUCUGCAUUGGAUAUAGUCUGGUCUCUGAUUUCAUUAAAUACACACUAUGACCAGUUACAGAUUUUACAUACAACUAAGGUCGUUAUAUCUCUUUGUUCAAUGUUCGAGUCUGAUUCUCAGAAUAAUAUUCACCAAACUUCAAAUGGGACUGAAAUGAAAACUGAAUCUUAAAAUUUAGACUAAAGUUGCCAGUUGGGGAUAUUUUUUCAAAUAUCAGUUGAAUUUUCUAGCAUUACGAUUUGAUAUUCAGUGAAUGAAGCCACAGUGAGAGCCAUAUAACAAAUGCUUUGAUUUACGACAUAUUACAUAUUUCUAUGUGAAGUUAAAGAAUUGCAUUUUUCCCUCUUGUGCAUUUUGGGGAUUAUUGGCACUAUAGUUGCUAUUAACACGGUAAUCACUGCAUUUACUUGCUUAGUGCUUUGCAAUUGGAAUGAUUAUUUGUUAAAUUUAAGGGAACAAUAUUUUGACUCGCACACAUUUAGCGAUGGAGAUAACAGUUUGGAAUGUCGGUUCUGGGGAUUGAGAACAGAUGGACGAGGCAGGAUGAAGAUUUAUACUGGAGAUUUCAACCUUGGGGACGUUUAUAAAAGAGAGGAUAUUUGCUAAAGAAUUGAAAAAUAGAAAACAAGGAUUUAGGGGAUGAGUGGUUUACUAAAGACGUUAUUCAGUAAAAAGGGAAUUUUGGUGAAUUGUACAUCAAAUUACACUAAUAAUGCUAAUAUAGCUGUUGUGAAUAUAUCUGAACUCGGAAAUGUAUCUAACGCAGCAAUUUUGGAUUCAAUUUACUAUAAUUUAGUCAUGGAGGUAUUAUCCCCAAUUCAUUUCUUGCUGUAAUCGUGGCUUGGUUCCACUGCUCAAAGUUACUGAUUGUAGAAUCCCACUACCAUACAUCUGUAAAUCAAAGUGCUUAACUACAUAACCCAUAAACACCGGCAUAAACACUCUUACUGGAUGCAGUGGGUCAGGAUUGUCAACCACGUGUCUGAAUACAAGUUAGGCUGGCAGCAGACACACAAUUCGGUCCCAGUCAGAGCAGGUCAUGUGCAGAGCAUUGUUCAGUCCCACUCUGAGCAGGUCAUGUACAGAGCGUUGUUCAGUCCGAGCCGGAGCAGGUCAUGUGCAGACCGUUGUUCAGUCCCAGUCGGAGCAGGUCAUGUGCAGAGCGUUGUUCAGUCCCAGUCGGAGCAGGUCAUGUGCAGACCGUUGUUCAGUCCCUGUCGGAGCAGGUCAUGUGCAGAGUGUUGUUCAGUCCCUGUCGGAGCAGGUCAUGCGCAGAGCGUUGUUCAGUCCUACUCGGAGCAGUUCAUGUGCAGAGCAUUGUUCAGUACCACUCGGAGCAGAUCAUGUGCAGAGCGUUGUUCAGACCCAGUCGGAGCAGAUCAUGUGCAGAGCGUUGUUCAGUCCCAGUCGGAGCAGGUCAUGUGCAGACCGUUGUUCAGUCCCUGUCGGAGCAGGUCAUGUGCAGAGUGUUGUUCAGUCCCUGUCGGAGCAGGUCAUGCGCAGAGCGUUGUUCAGUCCUACUCGGAGCAGUUCAUGUGCAGAGCAUUGUUCAGUACCACUCGGAGCAGAUCAUGUGCAGAGCGUUGUUCAGACCCAGUCGGAGCAGGUCAUGUGCAGAGCGUUGUUCAGCCGAGUCGGAGCAGGUCAUGUGCAGACCGUUGUUUAGUCCCAGCCGGAGCAGGUCACGUGCAGACCGUUGUUUAGUCCCAGUCGGAGCAGGUCAUGUGCAGACCGUUGUUUAGUCCCAGUCGGAGCAAGUGAUUUGCAGAGCGUUGUUCAGUCCCAGUCGGAGCAGGUCAUGUGCAGAGCGUUGUUCAGUCCCUGUCGGAGCAGGUCAUGUGCAGAGCGUUGUUCAGUCCUACUCGGAGCAGUUCAUGUGCAGAGCAUUGUUCAGUCCCACUCGGAGCAGAUCAUGUGCAGAGCGUUGUUCAGACCCAGUCGGAGCAGGUCAUGUGCAGACCGUUGUUUAGUCCCAGUCAGAGCAGGUCACGUGCAGACCGUUGUUUAGUCCUAGUCGGAGCAGGUCAUGUGCAGACCGUUGUUUAGUCCCAGUCGGAGCAAGUGAUUUGCAGAGCGUUGUUCAGUCCCAGUCGGAGCAGGUCAUGUGCAGAGCGUUGUUCAGUCCCUGUCGGAGCAGGUCAUGUGCAGAGCGUUGUUCAGUCCCAGUCGGAGCAGGUCAUGUGCAGAGCGUUGUUCAGUCCUACUCAGAGCAGGUCAUGUGCAGAGCGUUGUUCAGACCCAGUUGGAGCAGGUCAUGUGCAGAGCGUUGUUCAGUCCGAGUCGGAGCAGGUCAUGUGCAGACCGUUGUUUAGUCCCAGUCGGAGCAGAUCACGUGCAGACCGUUGUUUAGUCCUAGUCGGAGCAGGUCAUGUGCAGACCGUUGUUUAGUCCCAGUCUGAGCAAGUGAUUUGCAGAGCGUUGUUCAGUCCCAGUCGGAGCAGGUCAUGUGCAGAGCGUUGUUCAGUCCCUGUCGGAGCAGGUCAUGUGCAGAGCGUUGUUCAGUCCUACUCGGAGCAGUUCAUGUGCAGAGCAUUGUUCAGUCCCACUCGGAGCAGAUCAUGUGCAGAGCGUUGUUCAGACCCAGUCGGAGCAGGUCAUGUGCAGAGCGUUGUUCAGUCCGAGUCGGAGCAGGUCAUGUGCAGACCGUUGUUCAGUCCCAGUCGGAGCAGGUCAUGUGCAGAGCGUUGUUCAGUCCCAGUCGGAGCAGGUCAUGUGCAGAGCGUUGUUCAGUCCCUGUCGGAGCAGGUCAUGUGCAGAGCGUUGUUCAGUCCCAGUCGGAGCAGGUCAUGUGCAGAGCGUUGUUCAGUCCCAGUCGGAGCAGGUCAUGUGCAGAGCGUUGUUCAGUCCCAGUCGGAGCAGGUCAUGUGCAGAGCGUUGUUCAGUCCCAGUCGGAGCAGGUCAUGUGCAGAGCGUUGUUGUGGAGGAGGUCAUGUGCAGAGCGUUGUUCAGUCCUACUCGGAGCAGGUCAUGUGCAGAGCGUUGUUCAGUCCUACUCGGAGGAGGUCAUGUGCAGAGCGUUGUUCAGUCCUACUCGGAGCAGGUCAUGUGCAAACUGUUGUUUAGUCCCAUUUGGAGCAGGUCAUGUGCAGAGCGUUGUUCAGUCCCAGUCGGAGCAGAUCAUGUGCAAACCGUUGUUUAGUCCCAGUUGGAGCAGGUCAUGUGCAGAGCGUUGUUCAGUCCCAGUUGGAGCAGGUCAUGUGCAGAGCGUUGUUCAGUCCCAGUUGGAGCAGGUCAUGUGCAGACCGUUGUUCAGUCCCAGUCGGAGCAGGUCAUGUGCAAACCAUUGUUUAGUCCAAGUCGGAGCAGGUGAUUUACAGAGCGUUGUUCAGUCCCUGUCGGAGCAGGUCAUGUGCAGAGCGUUGUUCAGUCCUACUCGGAGCAGGUCAUGUGCAAACUGUUGUUUAGUCCCAUUUGGAGCAGGUCAUGUGCAGAGCGUUGUUCAGUCCUACUCGGAGCAGGUCAUGUGCAAACUGUUGUUUAGUCCCAUUUGGAGCAGGUCAUGUGCAGAGCGUUGUUCAGUCCCAGUCGGAGCAGGUCAUGUGCAAACUGUUGUUUAGUCCCAUUUGGAGCAGGUCAUGUGCAGACCGUUGUUCAGUCCCAGUCGGAGCAGGUCAUGUGCAGAGCGUUGUUCAGUCCCAGUCAGGACUUAAGUAGGACCCAGCAUUAGUCCCACUUAAUUCAAUAAAUAUUUUUCAGUAAUUAGAAUAAGAGAACUGUAUGUCAUGAAAUCUAAUGUAACUUUUAAUUAUCAGAAUUCCAGCCAUGCGGUUUCCUAUGAGCGAAUGUAACUUACAGUGAUUGCAGCUCCACGGACAUGAAUUAAUGUGAUGACAAUUCCAUGUACAGUGUGACCUAUGACCUAAUGCACCACAUACAGUGAUUGCAAUUUCACACACUAUGUUCUGAGCUGUUGUGACUUUCGGUGUUCGCCAUUCCACGCACUAUCCGUCCUGUGAACUAAUGUGUCUUUCGAUGGUCUUUCCAUGGUCUGAGUGCUCCAGAUUAGAACAGGUGCAUCCAAUGGUGUCCUCGCACCACGCUAUCCGGUGACAGUUUUCUGGUGAACCCAAAAGUUUAACAAAGUUAGGACAAGAAAUAGGCAUUGACUCGCUGAAAUGAGGACGAGUGAUUAACGAGUGCACUGCUGUCUGGCUAAUUUUACAUUUCAGAUCAUUUCUUCUACAGUUCAUGUUGUUUUUCAAGCAAUGUCUUUUCUCUCACUCUGCCGAUAAAGUACUUUACACCGUCCCGUGGGUACAUGGUGGAACGGGGCAUAAAAUGCUUUUAUUUGUGUGUUUUAUUCUGUUGUUCUGUACUUUGCAGUUUCUAUCGUCGUGAAUGAUUAUGUUGUUUCUGGUUGCGACAUGUUUUCCCAUUUAAAUACUUUGCAAAACAUGUCUGGUUACAGGAUUGUCUGAUUUUUUCCACGUUUCUGUUUAAUUUUUUUUGCAUUCUUAGAAUAGUGUUUACUCUAAAUGUGAAGGACAAAUAAUAAGAUAAAGCAGAAUUAAAUGAACUCACAGACGCAGUCACAGAGUUACUCACUAAAUAAUGUAUUGCCAGCAAUUCAAAAGGAUUUUCAAAUUAUUGUUUUCCUGGCAAUAAUUCAUUUAAAAUAGGGCACAAAAACUAAAAAAGAGCAAAAUCGUGCUAAUAUAAGCUACUUACAGCAAGAGGCUAAACGACAACAAAUUGGCACCUUUUAGGGGUUUUCGAUUACAUCACAAGUGGUGUACAGACAGCCAGGUGCAUUAAUGAUGCUAUCAGGUGGCAGUUGUGUCAUUAACCCAUGGUACUGUGUGUUUCAUUCAGGUUUCCCUAAACAGAUAUUUGUGUAUUGUGCACAGGCGUAUUCAUGGUAUUAUAAAUUCUGAGAGUUAUGUUGUAGUUACAGUGCUUAUUAAUCCUGUAAUUGGUGUAACUGAUUAACAAGGAAUCGUUAAUUAAUCUUGCUAGUAUUCCUCAUUAGAUCAGGGAGAUCAUUCUGCUCAUGUAGAAAUAUAUUUUGGUAUUGCAUAUUCGUUGGGAACAUUCUUUUCGAAGCCUUUCAGGAGUUGAGAUGUUGAAUUUUCCAUGGUUCUAUUAAAUUGUUACUAACUCAUCUUCUGAAGGUUUGCUAUCUGUUGUGUUACCAAUCAUUGGAUUCUGAGUUUGCCCCAUUUUAAAAAUGAAAACACCCAAUAUUGCCUAUCACCCCUCUUUGCUCCUUUUAGAGUUUUAGUUCCAAAAGUCGAUUAGCAGUAAAUAGAAUUCUUUUAGUCUGAAGAUUUAGGGAUUUUUAUGUUAGUUGAUGUUUUUCACUUAAGCCACUUGAAAAAGGAACGCAACUGUUUGAAAGUACUAAUUGACUCAAUGGUCCAGAAAAUAUAAUAAACAGCACAACUUUUAGAAGGCACUCACCAGCGUUCAUAGAACUGAAAUCCUCUGCGACAGAUUCUAAAACCAUUAAAAAAUGAAUUUUAAGAUUAAAUGUACAGAAGGUUUUUAUACGACACAAGAGGUUGAUAAUAUUGCUAAUAAACAUUACCUACUCAAGUCACUAAAAAGCAACAAAUUUAAUAUUCUUUUUUAAAAAAAAAGUGGCAAAUGUCAGAACAUGUAGUAGAAAACUACCAAACGGUACCAACACAAAAUAUGUCCUUCUAUGGGCCAAAGAUAAGAGCACCCAACAUGCGUACGGUUUCAUGGCAUUAAACACUUUGCUCCAGAGUUGUUCCUCUUUUAAACUGCUAAAUAUUAUAAUAUGGGACAAUCAGUUAUCUUUUUUUUAACCCUGGUUUAAGUUCUUCUCUAGAACGAUCACAUGUGAUAUAAUUUAUAUAGACUGCAAGAUAUGAAUACACCCAGAAAUCAUUCUGCCUUCUGGAUACUUUGUUCUUCCCUCUGCUCUAUAGAUUGACCAGGUUCCAUUGCUAAGCUCUUUCCCUGUAUGUCUUGUUUAGAUAGGGAGAUUUGUUUUGGACCGAACUGUAAUUCGGCUGAAUUUGGGCUAAACUAAUAAUAUUCAGCAGAAUUCCCAAAUUCCUAGCAGAAAUAUAUCUGCAUUUCAGACUACCUGAAACGUUCGAUGUCGAACAUACCUGGGGGCAAUAUGGUAAAUUCCACCGAAGGGGACAUAAAAAAAGAUGAUUGAUGUUUAGGGGACUGCCACUUAAUGUUUAUUUUAUUCACAGAUCAAAUAAGAAGUGAGCAAUAGAGGGGAAAAAUAGCAGGAGCAUUAAAAUAAUCUAUAUUUAUUAAAUAUCGAAUAUAUAUAUCUGUAGAUAUCUUUAUCUAUCUAUAAAUACAGAUAUUUUUAUGCUGCUCCGUUUUUUCCUAUGUUUGGUUACUUCUUCUCAGUGGAUCUGUGAACCAAAUAGCAUGAAAAUGCUCCUAUCGGUGCACUGCCAAAAUACAUAGAUAAUAUUUAUAUUAUAUUACUUAUAUAAUGUUAUAAUAUUUAUAUAAUAUGUAUUUAUACAUUGCAGCACACUGAUUGGACCCUUUUUGGUCUGCAUUCCAGUUCUGGUUUCUGAAUGGACAUUAGGCAGAACCGUCGCUUGAAAAAAAUGAUUCUGCAGAAGCAACAUUUCUUGCAGUGAAGAUAUCUAGUGAUUAGCACGUUCUGUUCCUGCCCUGUACGAGGUUACGGAAUACAAUAUCACUGUACCAAAACUAACUAGUGUAUUCGUCUCUCAGAAUACCCACAUUAGAACGGAUUUACCCGUAAACUCCUUCCUUAAACCCAGAACCUUUAAAAGUCACUAGAUCUGUUUGAAUUGUCUUAGCUACAAUAAGGUUAAAUGAUUUCUUUUCUGUGAGUAGAAUUGAUAUUAUAUCAGCAGCCUUCACAAUGAAGGACACGAACCCUUGAAUAAGACGUAUUCUCCUAUAGUGCAUUAAGUACAGAGAUCCCCUUAUUUACCUUCUCUGGGGAUACAAUGUUUUCAGAUACAGAAGAGAUGUAUUCUAUAGGACGAUUGUAUGGCACUGGGCUGAGCCUUUUCAUAGCAGAUCGAUGUGCUCAUGCUUCCCUUGAGAAUAAAGCCUGCAUUUCUACCAAAAUGAUAAGGCAUUAAAUGCCUGUGUUAGAAUAUAUUUUUGCCCUUGUUUUCUGAGCCUCCCCGAGGAAUAGUUAUAUUGGCUAAAGUUUCACGGUGCAGAUUGUACACUUGCAUCUAUUGCUGGAGAGGAUCAAUCACAUUUAAUGAGGAUAACGCAGUUUGUUCGAUUCGUGCCAUCAUGUGUCUUCAGAUGAGAGGGCCAAGCAGACUCUAACCUGUAUACACUAUCAGCACAACGAGGCACUGAGGGCUGGGAGACAUCGAAGACAAAACAUCACACCUGGAGGGAAAAACAGGAAUCGCUGACUAUUAGGGUCUCACCUCAAAAACUGCAAGCAGUUUUAUUCAAAUAAAAUUUCACCUAAGAAGACGUUAAUUAAUUUAUGACCUAUUCUCCUGUACUGCGGGAGUUGCCAUGAUCUCAAGUUUAUUAAGAUUACACUAGCUAAUGCCUGCCUACCCCUUCUUACCCUAUCCAGACAGGGGGCAUGUGAGCUUUAUUGCAGGUACAUUAGUGUCUCUAGCAGAGACAGGACUAUUACAGGAGCUUUGGAGCAUCCACUACACUCGUUUCUGAUAGGCAGCAGGUUCUCCUGCCCUCCCCUACUAUUGACUAUUUAUUAUUAGGAGUGUUCAAAACAUAAGGCCAGGCUAUGUGGCAAUUUUACUUCAUCGUGUGGUUCUACAACAAAUGGAGAUUUAAAUAUUUGCUUGUUCCCUUUCUAGGUUUAAAUGUUCAGAGACUUCACUCGUGCCAAGUUAGCUUUGAAAGAUGAAAGUGUCACUGCUAUCACAGGAUGUCGCUGAUCAUGGAAGCUGGGUGCCAUCUCAGCUUGGCAUCUUUGCAGAAUUUGUGAACUUUAACAACAGCUUGUAAUUUUCAUUGCGUUUAUUUAACAUUUUGCUUUUUAACUUCCAAUUACAGGUUUCAAUUCAUAUAAAUGCCAACUGAUGUCCAAGUUCAAACAAAACAAAUGAAGGCCUGGAUUGCCUAUCAAUCUAUUACAAUUAAUUAGAAACAGGAAGGCACACUAGUCAAGUGACAUGAGAAUUUAUUAACAAAAGCAAACCAGCCAAAUUANNNNNNNNNNNNNNNNNNNNNNNNNNNNNNNNNNNNNNNNNNNNNNNNNNNNNNNNNNNNNNNNNNNNNNNNNNNNNNNNNNNNNNNNNNNNNNNNNNNNGGGUGCUCACUCAAAGGAUCCCAUUUCUCCAAGGACCUAAAAAAUCUAUGGAAAAUACUGAAUAAGGUGCACAACCAUACAGACAGAAAAACGUUAUUAAUUGGGUCCAACAGAAUAGGUAUCCCAAGAUACAAACACAAAGAGAAAAAGUCUUAGUAAUAAUGCCACAAUACAAAGCAUGUACAAAAUGUAUCACGAUUCUCUAUACUUAGAGUAAGUAACUACAAAAAGCAAACAUGCCAAUCUAGAUACAAAUUGAAUUAGAUACCCAGAAAGAGGAACCCAACAGACCAUACAUAGUGAGAAGAGGGAGAAAAUCAAAAAGACGCCCCCUUAAUGUCAAAGAAAAAGAAAUUCCUUUAUCUAGCCACUAAUAAACCAAGAGCGUGAUCGGUGGCCACCCACAAUGCUUGAGAUCUUAUGGUUAUGGUCACCAAGGAUACCAAUAUACAGGAUGUAUGUAUGCAAUUGUACUUAACAGAAAACUCUCAGGGAUAAGAAAAUUCAUGAACAUAAAUAUUUAAAACAAUGAAAAAAAUAUGACAACAAAAAUAAUUAAAUUAAAAUCUAAAUAAGUACCUGCCUUAUUUGCAUGUGCGUUCCACAAAUAUCCCCAAUCAGAUUCAUCAGAGCAAUAACCCCACCCCAGGCUACGGGCAGGGAGGUGCUGCAAAACACACAGCCGGCCGCACCGGAAUAUCAUUUAAUGACUCCAGGCGCAAACAGUCUAUCAAUCUAGUGACUGUAUUGGCAGUUUAUUGGCUCCCGAUAAGCCUUUUAUCAGUUGACAUGAAUGUAACAUCCACCGUGAAAGAGUUAUUGAGAGCCGAUAGAUAUUGGACAUAAUAUCCGUCCAAAAAUAUUAACAAAAAUCGACCAUAUACUUGUCAUUUGAAAAAGAGAAAUAAAUAAUAAUUACAGCAAAGAAUGGUAGAGAAAUAUUUUGUGGCUAUUUGCUACUCGCACCACUAGCAGACAGUGUGAAAAUAGUAAAGUAAGGAAUGUGGGGGGCAUAUGGGGGCUAUACACCUCCCCCAUGUCCCCUCUCACCAUGCUCUCUGCUUGCUGAAGUGAAAGACUAGUGACUAGUACAGGUAAUUAUAAUAAGUCGAAAAGAGACUAGUAUCCCAAUAGGGAAACUAGUAUAUUAGUGUGUCAGGGACAACCUCAUAGGGGGUAACCCUUACUGGAGUAAGAAAUAAAGAAAAUUCCAGAGAAAUAAUCUCUGGAAUAGUAGGUAGGAGGUCCCUCUAUCCACCAGAUGAAUUGUAUUGUUUAAGAUAAAAUAUAACUUUUAUUCAUAAAAUUAAAAAGUAAGAGUACAGAAAAAAGUAUAUAUGUUUAAAAAUAAAAAAAAAAAUCAAUAGACAGGCAGGUAUACCAAUAUGUCCACUAGUCGUACCAGAGAAUAGUGCAAAUUGUCUAUAAAUAUAUAAGACAAAAUGAUGUCAACUAAUGGAUGAAGAAAUCUCCACUCAGGGAAACAAAAUGUAGGAGAAACAAGUUUGUAAUAUAGUGAGUCACUCACAAGGCAACUAUUGUAUACAGAGUGCCUAAGAAAUCUACUAUCGUUUGCAUAAACUGUUGCAAAAAUGUUUCUAUUGCUUAAAAUAUGAGCAUGGGCUAUCUAAAUCAGAAGGGAGCCCAAAAUAGUAUAAGAAAAGCUAAAGAGUGGCGUUUUGAGAGAGAGAGAGGUCCCCUACAAUCAUAGUAUAGGAGCAGAACCACCCCUCCCCUCUAUAAUGAACUCCUAAUUCCCGAUACCACCCCCCACUGAAAUCACAUCAAAGAAUUGAAUCAAAGUGGUCCGAUCAACUAGCUAGAGUGAAGAGAGCGAUCUGGAGAUUCUAACUGCCUGUCUAUGUUGCCAAAAGCUACCUAACACGUGUUUCGGCGCUGCUAACGCGCCUUCAUCUGAGGCAAGGCAGCCGGACGCAGCUCUCCGGUUUCAAUUUAAAGCUGCUCAUAACCAAUCACUGAGUGGAGGCCAAAACAGCGUUCGAAUUGGCCACGCCCCCUUCGAACGUAGUGCCAUGUAAUUGGUGGAAAGCCCCAAAAGUCCGAGACGAAUUAACCCUUAAUGUCACGUAUGAUUGAGUAGGUAUUGUAUCAUUUCUUAUUACAUAGUCUAUAAAAAACACAAUUGUGUAAACUUCUCUUGUUACAUUGUCCAUAAGGAAAAGUGAAUCCAGAGAAUAUAAUAAAGAUCUCUAGAGUGGCAUUAAUAAUGUAUAUAACUAAAUGUAGAUGUGAAAUAAAAGAAAUACAAUAUAUAAAUUAGCUCCACAUAAAGGAAGCAAACCAGGUUAUAUAUAUACAUUCUCCAGAUGGACUAUAUGAUAGAGAGAGAGAAGAAAUAAUAUAGAAAGUAUAGAAGAAAUAUAUACUCAAUUAAGCUAUGGAAAGAGGAGCUUUCACAGGAUCUACUUCUAUAUCAGAGAUUGGGUAUGUAGGAUAAUCAUAGAAUCAUAACAUACUAUUUAAAAGAUAGAUAAGUGAGUUGAAUAACAAAAAAGGUAAAUAUUUAAUUAAAGUACUCCUUAUUUUUCAAUAUAGGGUGUGAAGGUAAAACCCUCGUUUAAACCAUUGGAGGCUAGGGUGUUGAACCUGUAAAUCCAAAAGGAUUCCCUCUUGAGAAGGAUUCUAUCCAAAUCUCCUCCCCUGGCGCCUGUAUUGACUUUUUCAAUACCCGCAAAUUUAAUGGCUUUUGGAUAUCCCCUGUGGCAAGUUCUGAUGUGUCUCGCCACGGGAGUUUCUCUGAGAUUCCGAAUGGAGUAUACAUGCUCCAUAAUUCUCUUUUUGAAGGGGCGUAUCGUCUUGCCUACGUAUCUAAGGCCACAAGUACAACUUAAGAGGUAUAUAACUCCUUUUGUAUUGCAGUUGAAAAAAUGUUUGACCUUACAGAUAGUUUUAUCUGUUGAAUCUGUUAGUUCUUUGGAGCCCUUGUUAAUAUAUCCACAUGCCACACAUUUACCUCAUUGGUAAAUCCCUUGUACAGAAAGCCAGCAUUGUUGUAUUUGUUUAGAUGAAAAGUGACUAGGUACAAGGGUCUCNNNNNNNNNNNNNNNNNNNNNNNNNNNNNNNNNNNNNNNNNNNNNNNNNNNNNNNNNNNNNNNNNNNNNNNNNNNNNNNNNNNNNNNNNNNNNNNNNNNNCCAUGAUAUAGGCACAUUCAGCAUAUAUCAUCAGACUGUGUACCAAGGAAUUUGUUAUAUUAUGGGUGAAUAUUUAUAGAUUUACAUUUGCUUCCUCAAAAAAAAUGAUUCAUUAAAAAUAAUUCAAUUUUUAAAAAAAAAUAAUAGUAAUAAAAAAUAUUCACAAAACACACCAAUUUUGUUCCAGUGAUAGCAAAGCUUGUAUAAAUGUACAGUCACUUUUCAUAUUUUCUAGCUUGGACUAGAGAUCCCAAGCAAGGCCAGACUGGAGAUACAAAGGAGCCCUGAAAAAAAAUGUAUGCUAGCCCUGUAAGUAAUUGUGCCACGCAGUGUGAGCCAAGCCUUUAUGAAUCUUGCAAUGUAAAGAUAUAUAAAUAAGGUUAGUUUCAUUAAGUUUUUGCCCUCUUUUAUUACAAGCCUACCCGAUACGUCACUUUCUGCACACCAUAUAUAUAUGUGUGUAUUUUAUUGGUAUGUUCCUUUUUCUAAUUCAAAAUAUUGGGUGUUCAGGGUAAAAAAAUUAAUUAUACAAUAAGCAUGCUCACAUACAGACACAGAUACAUCUCAUUGAUACAAAGACUCACAGACAGACAAUCUCAUUGAUACACAUAAGCUCACUGAUUUACACAAAUAGGCUCACCGACAGACAGUCUCACUGAUACACACGGACACGCUUAGUACAAACUCUAACACUCAGACAAGCUUAUUAUAGACAAGGUCAUUGGUAUACAAACAGAAGCUCACUACAGACAAGCUCACUGACACACAUACACACGCUCACUACAGACAAGCUCACUGACACACAUGCACACUACAGACAAGUUAAUGAACACACACAAACUCAAUACAGACACACUCACUGUCACACACAAGCUCAUUACAGACAAGCUCACUAUCACACACGCUCACUACAGACAAGCUCACUGACACACACAUGCUCACUCCAGACAAACUCACUAACACACAUGUACAGUCAAGCUCACUGACACACAUGCACUCUAUAAACAAGCUCAUGAACACACACAAACACAAUACAGACACCCUUACUGUAACACACAAACACAAUACAGACAAGCUCACUGUAACACACAUGCUCACUACAGACAAGCUCAGUGACACACAUGCUCACUACAGACAAGCUCACUGACACACACAUGCUCACUACAGAAAUGUUCACUGACACACACAAGCUCACUACAGAAAAGCUCACUGACACACACACAUGCUCACUACAGACAAGGUUACUGACACAGACAUGCUCACUACAGAAAAGCUCACUGACACACACAUGCUCACUACGGACAAACUCACUGACACACAUAUGCUCACUAAAGUCAAGUUCACUGAAACAUGUACACAUGCUCACUACAGACAAGCUCAUUGACACACAUGCACACUACAGACAAGUUCACUGACACAUACAAGCUCACUACAGACAAGCUCACUGUCACACAUAAGCUCACUACAGACAAGCCUACUGACACACAUGCUCAGUACAGACAAGCUCACUGACACACGCAUGCUCACUACAGACAAGCUCACUGACACACACUUGUUCACUACAGGCAAGAUCACUGACACACAAGCUCACUGACACACAGAUGCCUACUACUGAUAUACACAAACAGGCUCACUGACAGACAAACUCACUGACACACACAGACAAGCUUAGUACAAACUAACACUCACACAAGCUAACUACAGGCAAAGUCAAUGGUAUAGAAACAGAAGCUUACUACAGACAAGUUCUCUGACACACAUACACAUGAUCACUACAGACAUGCUCACUGACACACACUCUCACUCCAGACAAACACACUGAGACACAUGUACAGACAAGCUCACUGACACACAUGCACAAUACAGACACAUUCACUGUCAUAAACAAGCUUACUACAGACACGCUCACUGACACACACAUGCUCACUACAGGCAAGUUCUCUGACACACAUACACAUGCUCACUACAGACAAUCUCACUGACACACACAUGCUCACUACACACAAGCUCACAGACACACACUAGCUCACUGACACAGACAUGCUCACUAAGGACAAGCUCACUGACACACACAUGCUCACUACAGCCAAGCUCACUGACACACACACUCAAUAGCAGGCACAUACUCACACUCACAGGCACUGUCAUGGGUUGAAUCCUACCUGUCACGCAAAGCUGUGGAAGCAGUGUGGGGACGGAGCUUGUGUGUGGGGCGGGAUUUGAGUGCAGGAGGUGGGGCUUGAGUCUGGGUGGUGAAGCAUAAAGGCACCGAAUUGCUUGGCACUCAGAAAAGAGACUUAGUGCUCCCUCCAGUCCCCUGGCAGCCUAAAUGCAGCCGCACCAGCCCCAGGCACCUAUCUCCUUCUCUCCUUACACAGACUGUUACAGUCCGAGGGAAAAUUUCCCGGUAUCCUGGUGGGCCAGUCCGGCCCUGAUCCAAACACGGACAGAAGGAAUAAAUCAGCCCUGGAUUAAGGUGCACCUGGUCACAUACACUCCAAGUACACACCUGGUCACAUACACUCCACAUACACAGCUGGGCACAUACACUCCUCGUCAGGGCCGGCCUUAGGCAAUUAGGCGCCCUGUGCAAAAAGUCUUCACGGCGCCCCCCCCCCCACCUCCCACCAAGUUGCCUGAAUACAGUAACACACACAGGCACCGGGGACGUGUGUAUCACGAGGCGCCACUUUGCAGGGGGCGGCAAAAAAAAGCAUCCCUCCAAACCCCCAGGCAGAUCCCUUGCUUGCCUCGCAUCCUGGGGGGCUCAAGAGCUGACCGGCUGGCCACUUUUGAGCCCCCCCAAGGCUGGCAGCGGGCAGCGAAGGAGCAUACUCACCUGAGCUCUUCCUGCUCAGCUUUCUCUGCGCCGCUUAAUGAAGCCGGGAGCCAGAAUAUGACGUCAGUCCGGCUCCCGGCAUCACUAAGCGCUGCUUACUCAGCCUGUGCGCCCCCUGCCUGCCUGCCCAGCAGCCACACUGGACUGCUGGUAAGAAAUCCACUCCAGCUUUCCCAGGGAGGCUGGGUGGAUUUAAAAUAAAUGUAAAAAAUAUUAGUUUGUGAGUGAUAGUGGAAAUGUCUGUGUGUGUGUCUGUGAGUGUUUAUUUUGAAGUGAAUGUGUGUGUGUGUGUGUGUGUGUGUGUCUGUAAGUGUGUAAUUGUGUGUGUCUGUAAGUGAAUUGUGUGUGUCUGUGAGUGAAUGUGUGUGUUGGUCAGUGAGUGUAUAUGUGUCAGUCAGUGAGUGUGUAUGUGUCAGUCAGUGAGUGUGUAUGUGUCGUCAGUGAGUGUGUGUCGGUCAGUGAGUGUGUAGGUCAGUGAGUGUGUGUGUCGGUCAGUGAGUGUGUGUCGGUCAGUGAGUGUGUGUCAGUGAGUGUGUAUGUGUCGGUCAGUGGAGUCGUGCAUCUUUCAGUGAGUGCUUGCGUCUGUCAGUGAGAGUGUGCAUCUGUCAGUGUGUGUCCAAGUAAUAGUGUAUGUGUGUAUGUCAUUGUUUGUCAGCGUAUAUGAGAGUGUGUGUCUGUCAGUGAGUGUGCGUCUGUCAGUGAGUGAGCGUCUGUCAGUCAAAGUGCGGCCUUGACAGGAAGGGGUCGGGGAAAUUUAAACUCGGUUACAGGCAUGUACACACACACUCAGUUAAAGGCAGUCACACAUACAGGCACAGGCACAGGCACAAACAAUGGCACAGCUACAGCGACACACACAGACAGACAGUCACAUAGGCAGUCACACACACAGACAGACACACAGUAACACACACAUAGACAGUUAUACACACACAGGCAGGCAGUCACACAGAUAGAAAGUCACACACACAGGCAGGCAGUCACACACAGACAUAGUUACAGACAGACACACACAGGCAGGCAGUCACAUACAGGCAGUCACACACACAGGCAGUCACACACACAGACAGACAGUCACACACACAGACAGUCACACAGACAGACAGUCUCACACACACAGGCAGUCACACACACGGGCAGUCACACAGACAGACAGUCACACAGACAGACAGUCACACACACAGGCAGUCACAUACACGGGCAGUCACACACACGGGCAGUCACACAGACAGACAGUCACACAGACAGACAGUCACACACACAGGCAGUCACAUACAUGGGCAGUCACACAGACAGACAGUCACACAGACAGACAGUCACACAGACAGACAGUCACACACACGGGCAGUCACACAGACAGACAGUCACACAGACAGACAGUCACACACACGGGCAGUCACACAGACAGACAGUCACACAGACAGACAGUCACACACACGGGCAGUCACACACACGGGCAGUCACAUACAUGGGCAGUCACAUACAUGGGCAGACAGACAGUCACACACACAGACAGUCACACAUAGGCAGGCAGUCACACACAGAGACAGUCACACACACACACACACACACAAGGACAGGCAGUCACACAGACAGUCACACACACACANNNNNNNNNNNNNNNNNNNNNNNNNNNNNNNNNNNNNNNNNNNNNNNNNNNNNNNNNNNNNNNNNNNNNNNNNNNNNNNNNNNNNNNNNNNNNNNNNNNNACACAGACAGACAGUCACACACACAGGCAGUCACACACAUGGGCAGUCACACAGACAGACAGUCACACACACAGACAGUCACACACAGGCAGGCAGUCACACACAGAGACAGUCACACACACACACAGAGACAGACAGUCACACACACACACAAGGACAGGCAGUCACACAGACAGUCACACACACACACACACACACACAGACAGUCACACGCACACAGGCAGGCAGUCACACAGACAGUCACACACACACACAGACAGUCACACGCACACAGACAGACAGUCACACAGACAGUCACACACACACACAGACAGUCACACAAACAGGCAAACAGUCACACACACACACUUACCUCUUUCCAGUGGAUGCAGUUGGCUGAUGGGGAAGCAUCUUUCCCUCUUCCUGUACAGCAGGGGCUUCAGGAGGUAUUAGCCCCGUCUCCGCCUCUCGAUAAGCCCCGCCUCCGCCGCUCGGUAAACCCCGCCCCCUCUGCCGCGAUUUUUUUUUUUUUUUUUAAAUAGAUCCCGGUGGAGAAUAAUUAAUCCUCCAGCCAGGUACCUCUUUUAGCUCCCCUGCACUCCGGCCAUGAGUGAGCUGUGUCGGCCACAGGGCGCCCCCUGUUCCAUGGCGCCCUGUGCGGUCGCACAGCUCGCACACCCCUAAGGCCGGCCCUGCUCCUCGUAUACAGCUAGUCACAUACACUCCUCGUACACACCUGGGCACAUACACUCCUCAUACACAGCUGGGCACAUACACUCCUCAUACACACCUGGGCGCAUACACCCCAAAUACACACCUGGGCACAUACAUUCCUCAUACACACCUGGGCGCAUAAACCCCAAAUACACACCUGGGCACAUACACUCCUAGUACACAGCUGGGCACAUACACUUCUAGUUCACAACUGGGCACAUACACUCCUCGUACACACCUGGUCACAUACACUCCUAGUACACACUUGGUCACAAACACUCCUAGUACACGGCUGGUCACAUACACUCCUCGUACACACCUGGGCACAUACACUCCUCGUACACACCUGGGCACAUACACUCCUCACACACACCUGUGCGCAUACACCUCAAAUACACACCUGGGCACAUACACUCCUCGUACACACCUGGGCACAUACACUCCUCAUACACACCUGUGCGCAUACACCUCAAAUACACACCUGGGCACAAACACUCCUCAUACACACCUGGGCNNNNNNNNNNNNNNNNNNNNNNNNNNNNNNNNNNNNNNNNNNNNNNNNNNNNNNNNNNNNNNNNNNNNNNNNNNNNNNNNNNNNNNNNNNNNNNNNNNNNGCAUACACCCCAAAUACUCACCUGGGCACAUACACUCCUCAUACACACCUGGGCACAUACACUCCUAGUAUACAGCUGGGCACAUACACUCCUCGUACACACCUGAUCACAUACACUCCUCGUACACAGCUGGGCACAUACACUCCUAGUACACGGCUGGUCACAUACACUCCUCGUACACGGCUGGUCACAUACACUCCUAGUACACAGCUGGGCACAUACAAUCCUCGUACACAGGUGACAUCAUAAAAUUCAAUUUCAAUGGACACAAACAGAGAUCAACAAGAAAAUCGCAACAUAUGGAAUUAUCCCUGUGGUGUGGAAAUUAGUAUACAUGUAUAAACUAUAUAUUCAAUUUGCAUGAAUUAAAUUCAAAUGGUAGAGCUGAGGCAAAAAGAGGUAUAUGGAAAUGUCUCCAAUUCGACCAAGGUCACAAUCUUUGGCCUCAACUUUUCCAUUCAGAUUUAAUUUUUUUUUAAAUAACCCUGAGUGUUUCAUCUUCUGCCCCCCAUAGUUUGCCGCUCUGUCCUUCCCGUGCUGUGUUCUUGUCUGUGUGUGCCCUGAGUGUAUCACCUUCUGCCCCCCAUAGUUAUUAUUAUUAUUAUUAUUUUAUUAUUUAUAUAGCGCCAACAAAUUCCGUAGCGCUGUACAAUGGGUGGACUAACAGACACAUAAUUGAGAUCAGACCACUGACGUACAGGAACAGAGGGGGUUGAGGGCCCUGCUCGAUGAGCUUACAUGCUAGAGGGAGUGGGGUAUAGUGACACAAAGGGUUAAAGUAGGGAAAUUAAAUAGUUUGUUACAGAAGGGUUUAUUGAGUGCUUGGUAGGUCAUUUUUGACAGGUGAAGGAAUGGAGUCAUGGGGUGGGGGAUGAGAAACCUGCUGACAGUUUAAUUGAUACUCUUUAAUAAAGAAGUGAGUUUUCAAAGAUUUUUUGAAGGAAUGGAGGCUGGGUGAAAGUCUGAUUGAGGAGGGAAGGGAGUUCCACAGAAUAGGUGCAGCCCUGGAGAAGUCUUGAGGGUGAGCAUCAGAGGUGGGGAUCCGGGCAGAGGAUAGGAGUAGGUCUUGGGCUGAGCGCAGGGGUCUCGUCGGGACAUACUUGUGUAUGAGGGAGGAUAGGUAUGUUGGAGCAGCAUUAUGUAGGGAUUUGUAAGCAAGCGCCAGAAUUUUAAAUUGGGCCUUAUAUCUAACUGGAAGCCAAUGCAGGGACUGACAGAGCGUGGAGGCGUGGGAGGUGCGACCGGACAGGAAAAUAAGCCUCGCAGCCGUAUUCAUAAUAGAUUGCAGCGGUGCAAGCUGGGAACAUGUAAGACCAGUGAGAAGGGGAUUGCAGUAGUCAAGGCGAGAGAGAACAACAGCAUGAACCAGUACCUUAGCCGCGUCCGGCGUUAGAUAUGGGCGGAUGCGCGCUAUGUUCUUGAGUUGGAAGCAACAGGAUUUGGCUAUCGAUUGAACAUGGGGAGUAAAAGAGAUCAGAAUCAAAAAGAACUCCUAGGCAGCGAGCCUGGGAGGUAGAGGUGAUAGUAGCGCCGUUGACUUGGAUGGCGACAGACACAGGAGUAGCAGCACUUGAGGGAGGAAAAACUAGAAGUUCUGUUUUGGACAGGUUGAGUUUAAGGAAGUGAGCAGCCAUCCAGUUGGAAAUAGCAGAGAGGCAGUCAGAAACACGAGUCAAGGUGGGCGGAGAGAGAUCAGGGGAGGACAGGUAGAUUUGCGUGUCAUCUGCAUAUAAAUGAUAUUAUUUUGUUAUUUUAUUAGUUUGGCGCUCUGUCCUUCCCGUGCUGUGUUCCUGUCUGUGUGUGCCCUGAGUGUAUGACCUGCUGCCCCCCAUAGAAUGCCGAUCUGUCCUUCCCGUUCUGUGUUUUUGUCUGUGUGUCCCCUGAGUGUAUCACUUUCUGCCUCUCAUAGUUUGCUGCUCUGUCCUUCCCGUGCUGUGUUCCUGUCUGUGUGUCCCCUGAGUGUAUCACUUUCUGCCUCUCAUAGUUUGCUGCUCUGUCCUUCCCGUGCUGUGUUCUUGUCUGUGUGUGCCCUGAGUGUAUCACCUUCUGCCCCCCAUAGUUUGCCGCUCUGUCCUUCCCGUGCUGUGUUCUUGUCUGUGUGUGCCCUGAGUGUAUCACCUUCUGCCCCCCAUAGUUUGCCGCUCUGUCCUUCCCGUGCUGUGUUCUUGUCUGUGUGUGCCCUGAAUGUAUCACCUUCUGCCCCCCAUAGUUUGCCGCUCUGUCCUUCCCGUGCUGUGUUCCUGUCUGUGUGUGCCCUGAGUCUAUCACCUUCUGCCCCCCAUAGUUUGCCGCUCUGUCCUUCCCGUGCUGUGUUCUUGUCUGUGUGUGCCCUGAAUGUAUCACCUUCUGCCCCCCAUAGUUUGCCGCUCUGUCCUUCCUGUGCUGUGUUCUUGUCUUUGUGUGCCCUGAGUGUAUCACUUUCUGCCUCUUAUAGUUUGCCGCUCUGUCCUUCCUGUGCUGUGUUCUUGUCUGUGUGUGCCCUUAGUAUCCUUCUGCCCCCCAUAGUUGCCCUCUCAUCCUUCCGUGCUGUGUGCUUGUGUAAUGUGCCCUAGAUACUUAUCACCUUCUGCCCCCCAUAGUAUUCACGCUCUCUGUCCUUUGUGCUGUGUUCUUGUCUGUGUGUGUGCCCCUGAGUGUAUCACCAUGCCCCAUGAGUAGCGCUCUGUCUUCCCGUGUGGUCUUGUCUGUGUGUGCCCUUAGUGUAUCACCUUCUGCCCCCCCCCCCAUAGUUUGCCACUCUGUCCUUCCCGUGCUGUGUUCUUGUCUGUGUGUGCCCUGAAUGUAUCACCUUCUGCCCCCCAUAGUAUGCCGCUCUGUCCUUCCUGUGCUGUGUUCUUGUCUGUGUGUGCCCUGAGUGUAUCACCUUCUGCCCCCCAUAGUAUGCCGCUCUGUCCUUCCUGUGCUGUGUUCUUGUCUGUGUGUGCCCUGAGUGUAUCACCUUCUGCCCCCCAUAGUAUGCCACUCUGUCCUUCCCGUGCUGUGGUCUUGUCUGUGUGUGCCCUUAGUGUAUCACCUUCUGCCCCCCCCCAUAGUUUGCCACUCUGUCCUUCCCAUGCUGUGUUCUUGUCUGUGUGACGUCUUGUGCUCCAUCAUAUGCUAACCUGCACCUAGGGUGAUGGGAAGAGAAUGUGGUACACUCAGAAAUGAAUGCUGAAUUUACAAAGUAUAUCUUCUUAUGGAAGAGAUACAUAGAUGAUAUCCUUAUUGUAUGGACCGGUACUGCUAAUUCCUUCACAACAUUUGUUGAAAGACUCAAUUCUAACGACCUAAAUUUAAAAUUCACGAUGGAGAUUGGACAUGAAUCUCUUAAUUUCUUAGACUGUACCCUGAGAAUUACUGAUGAAAACCAUAUUGAAAGUACUCUAUUUAGAAAACCCACCUCAACUAAUACGAUGUUGAGGUGGGAAAGCCACCAUCCCUUAACUCUGAAGAGGGGAAUCCCGGUUGGCCAAUAUCUCCGUCUGAGGAGGAAUUGCUCAACCGUGGAUGAUUUCAUCCUCCAGGCCAAAUCUCUGAGAACGAAAUUUAAAGAAAGGGGAUAUCCCAAUCGAUGUCUAAAAUAUGCCUAUCAGAGGGCACUUACCAGUGAUAGGGAGGGACUUUUUCAAGACAAAUCUGUAUCUUAUAAACCUGAACCCAUCAGGUGCAUAGCAAAUUUUGACGCUGGAUGGGAACAAGCUAAAAAGGUAUUGAAUAGGUUUUGGCCCCUCCUAUCACAGGACCCUCAAUUAGAUGGAGUGGUUACUCCACAUGUAUCCCUCACUGCACAAAGAGGUAAAAACUUAAAGNNNNNNNNNNNNNNNNNNNNNNNNNNNNNNNNNNNNNNNNNNNNNNNNNNNNNNNNNNNNNNNNNNNNNNNNNNNNNNNNNNNNNNNNNNNNNNNNNNNNAACACAAGUGGACCCCCAUUGUGUCAUAUGUGUUGGAACUCUGGGACCGCAUGGAGCAGUUAGCCAAGAUGGUAAAGGAAAACCUCCAGGCGGCCCAGGGCGGACAGAAGGUUUGGUACGAUUGGGGUGCCCAUUUGGGAUGAAAAAUACCCCAGGUGGGCAAAAGGCACUAGUACUAAAACCUGUUAGACAGGAUAAGUUACAGACGGCAUGGCAGGGCCCUUACAGAGUGGUGGAACAAAUAUGCGACACCACCUAUGUGAUCGCCAGCUGUGUUGAUGAAAGGAUCUGAAGAUCAUUUCAUGUCAAUAUGCUCAAGGCGUAUCAGGAAAGGCAGGAAGAUAUAGCUGCUGUAAGUGCCCCAGCCACAGACGACCCUGACAGUCUGUCUCUACUCGACCUACUGAAAAAAGAUUUGCAGACUCACCUCCUACAGCCAUGUCCAGAUUAACAUAGGGGCUGAUGGAGCUGCAGCUCCAGGUCCAGGCCCAUGAAAUAGGCCCAUUUAAAAAAAUGUAAAUAAUAAAAAAAAAAAAAAAUGUUUUAAAUUUUUUUUUUUUUUUUACUCACUACUCUUAGGUUUGCCACCUGACUGGUGGCAAACCUAAGAGUAGUGUGUAAAAACUGGUGGUGCCACCUUUUACUGGCACAGCCAGUAUUGCAGUAAUACCGGCAAUACAAUUGCAGGUAUUUUACGCAGUAUAAACGGAGAUUACUCUGCAAUACCAGCACCAGCCAGUAGGGGUCACUAUGUGUGGAGAGAGGCAGGGAUAGGAAGUUACAGCAUAUCCCUCCCUGCCUCUCUCUACUAAUCACUGAUCCGUGGGGGAGCACUACACAGCAUAGAGAGUCCAGACAGCAGCUCUACAGCUCAGGUAAGUUAGGGAUGGUGGGAAAGGCAGCAGGGAAACGUGGGGACACUGAGACACUAGGGGACACUGGGAGACAUGGGGAUGCUGAGACACAUGGGGACGCUGCGAGACAUAGGGACAUUGGGAGACACUGAGUGUCACCCCAUGUCUCACAGUGUCCCCAUGUCCCCCAGCCAGUGUCCCUAGUAUAUCAGUGUCCCCAUGUCUCCCAGUGUCCCCAUGUCUCCCAGCCAGUGUCCCCAUGUCUCCCAGUAUCCACAAGUCUCCCAGUGUCUGUGUCCCCAUGUCUCUGUGUGCCUAGUGUCCCUAAAUGUCUGUGUCCCCAUGUCUAUGUCCACACGUGUCCCCAUGUCUCCCAGUUUCUCCAAGUGUCUGUCUACCAGCCAGUGUCCCUAGUGUCCCUUAGUGUCCCUAUGUCUCCCAGUGUCUGUGUUCCGAUGUCUCUUAGUGUCCCCAAAUGUUUCAGUGUCCUCAUGUCUCCCAGUGUCUGUGUCCCCAUGUCUGUGUCCUUAGUGUCUCAGUGUCCCCAUUUCUCCGAGUGUCCCCAAAUGUCUGUCCCCAUGUCUCCCCAAAUGUGCCCCUUUUCUCCCAGUGUCCCCAAAUCUCACUGUGUCCCCAUGUCUUACUGUGUCUCCUAGUGACAUGGGGACACUGGGAGACUAGGGGACUGGGCGACAUAGGGACACUGAGUGACUUGCGAGACUGAGACACUGGGAGCAAUCCAUCCAUACAGCAGAAUCAAACUGUGAGUAGUUUGUUGGUGAUUUUCACUCCUUGUGAUUUACAUCAAGUGAUGUCACACAUACCUAAUUAAUUAUACAAAUUAUUUAAGGCUGGUAUUUUUUUCCAAGAAAGGUGGCAACCCUAACUGCUCUUCACAUACUGCUUAAAGGAACACUAUAGGGUCAGGAACACAAUCAUGUUGUCACUGCAGACAUCCCCUUUAAGAGACCUGGCUGGGUUUGAACUCACAGCUCCAGCUUCAGUUUCUGUUUGCAUUUUUCUGCUUCCUGACCACCUUGCCCUGGAUUAAGCAGCAAAGGGCUGCAGCCCUUUUCCAAUUAGGGUCAGCUGCAACUAAUUAGCAGGUUGUAAAAGCCAGCCCUGCCUGAGACCUGGUAUCUGGUAAUUUUGCCUGUUUGGUUUUUCCGUCCCGAUCUUUGAUUUGCUACUGACUGAUUUCCUGGACUCUGACCUCUGCCUGAUUUACCAACUUUGUUACUCCACUGCCAGCCCUGACUUCUGGAAUCCCAUCACAUUCCCCCCUUUGAUGCCUCUGAUAUAACAUUAUCCCAGAUGCAUCACUAAUCAUAAUCUACCAACACCACUCAAGUAACUCUCUCAACAUUCCUCAUCCUGAUUAUUCUCUCUCUGGGGCUAGAGGUUCAUACUUCCAGACAGCCAUUACAUGGUCUUUCUUUCUAUAGUGCUCUCUAUAACACUACGUAUGGACCUGACCACUAGUGGAAUUAAGCAGGGCAGAAAGAGACAUAGAAAUAUAAUAAAUACUACUCCUCCUACUAGUGCCUUAAUCCUUCCAAGCUGCUCAUACCAACUACUUGGGUUAUACCCACUCCAGACCUGAGUAGGUACAUGUGCAAGUUCAACCAUGUGGCUUGUAAGUUCAGCCACUGCCUGCCCUUCAUCGUCUAUGUGCAGACAACAGUUACUUAGAUUAAACUUCCUGCAUAAACCUCCUUCUACUGCUACUAAAGUAAUCAAGGGCUAGCCUAUUCUGGUAUAUGGCUGAUCGCAUCCGGGUAUUCUGCUUUGCUAAGAGGUUGAGUGCUUGCGCUGUCUCAUUGGUGAUAAUCUCAACCACCGCCUGUAGUCUUAUAAUACGGUUGAGCAUAUAUACUGGGGUUCUAUAUCCAUAAGUACCAUCUUCUGCCCAAGUAGCAGGUCCAUAAUAAUUAAUAAUACGUUGGGGAGGCCACUCAUCAUCUUCCCAGCUACCUAUAUUCAAAGAUGCUCGCUUCUUUUUAUGAUUUACAUCAUAAACCUUAACUCCCAAGGGCUCUCCUGUUUCGAUUGGCAACAAGAAGAAGGAUGGUUUGAGCAUACCUAAUACACAUGCCUCUUCCCAGUCCUGUGGUAACUCUGAAUAUGCAAGAACAGAGUGGUAAACCACGCCACAGAGGAAUUGGAGAUAGUUAAAAAGAAAAAAUGAUGUAUACAUACAUACAGGGUAUUCCAACAAUAUAAUGGUAGGUAUAAACAGCACUACCAAUACCCAAGGUGAUUAGCAUAAUGAAAAACACCACAGCCCAAAAUGUUGAUCCUCCAAGGGUAGAAAUUGCUUCAGGGUAAAUAAUAAACACCAGUCCAGCUCAGGACUCAAUAGAAUUGUUCAAUCGUGCUUGUUUAUUGAAGCAUCAAAUAUUACAAAAAAAAAGUGUCGCCGUUUCAGUCUUAUCUGGACCUUUUUCAAGAUCUCUGAAUAUGCCUUCUUACCACAAAUCCAGUAUACAUUUGCUGGGUGUGGCAGAACCAACCUCGCCACUGUCCACUGGAGAGGCCUGGUUGCUCACCUGCUCCCUUUAGACUAUGGUCCUGCAUUUUAAACUGUUAUUUUACCAGCAGAAAGGUUUAUUCGUGCCUUUCUGUGGACUGUUAAAGCCAUGCUGUCACGGUUCUCGCCGCAGCAAACAGACAGCCAGACGUGGUCACCCAUGGAGUUCCCAACAAGGGACUUGAACCGGGGAACUUCGCAGUCCUGGUCCUGCUUCCUUCCUCUGAGCCACAGCAGCUUUUGUAUUCCACAUGUCAUUCUGGUCCUGUUCAUCCUGGCAUGUCUAUUACUCUGGGGGCUGUACCUUGACUUUGGAUGUGCUUCACCUGACCCUGAUCAGACAUUAGCAGGGUAUUUAAACUCAGCCUCGCCCUGUGAUCAGCAUCAAGUCUUUGAUCCUGUUGUGUGCUUUGUACCAGUGUUCCUGUCGUUUGAGCUGCUACUUGUUAUUGACCCUGGCUUCUGACUACGUUUACUCUGACCUCUGGCAUCCCUUGACUUCGGCUACUCCUUGUUGUUCCUGUCUUCUGGCAUCCUUUGACCUCGGCUAUCCUUUGACGAUCCUGCUGUUUGAGUCCUUGCCUGUCCUGCGACUUGGUACUUCAUCCUGCACAGCCCCCGUGCACAGACCCACAGGCCGGGUGAAUUCUUACCUGACCUCCUUGGCCUGUGGCUAUCUGCAAGGGUGAGCAACAUAUCUGCGCUACAGACUCCCAACCCAGGUAAGACCCUGACACAUGCUACCCCAGAUUGCUAUGCCACGGAGCCCAGCCGUAUACUGAAAGACUUUGGCUCCAUGGCGAUUGAACUGUAUGUAUGUGAUCUGAGCGCCAUUCGGUAGUAAUGUGCGCUCAGAUCUAAGCUAUCUGGGGAUAUGUAGAAUGUAUAUGUUUUAGGUAAUAAAUGUGGCUGUAUGUAAUUUUAUGUCUUUUACUGUAUUGUUACUGCCAUGUGGUUAAUGGAGUUUCGCCUCUGUCCUGGGAGAUAAGUGGAUUACUUCCAAAUUAACUUCCCAAUUAUCUCCAGGACAGAGAGGAGGGAUUGUGAUGUAAUUGUGUGAGUGUUUAAAGGUGAAUGUCUGUGAUUGGCUAAGAGCCAAUAUGUUUCCCAUUUGGUCCCCUAGGGGAGUGUCCACCAGGUGGGAGACCUGCAUAAAAGCCGGGCAGUUAGCCCCAGUAAACCAGUUCUGCUUGACCUCAAAACUAAGUGUCGUCUCGUUAUUGGGGGAAUUGGAUUGUAUGCUGAUUGCCAGGAGUGUAAGCUGAUUGCAUGUUUUUCCUGUUCAGCUGCUUACAGCAUUCAUAUGCUUGAGAGCAUUUGUAUGCUUCUCUGGUUCGGUGGUGUCUGCUGCAGUGCUUGGAGUCCUCCGGAAGCGCUAGGAGCAUCCUUCGAUGGAGGUACCCAGUCAGGGGGCCAGGUGAUCCGUUACACUGGGGCUUUCCAAUUGGAUGUAGCAGAUAAGUCAAACCAUACCUCCUUUAAAUUAGUGUAAUUGGCAAACGGAUUAGUAGGCUCCGAGACAUUUGAAGCUGACCACCAAGUAGUAUCUUUUGUAUUAUCAUUAUAAGCCUUUUGUCCCAAACAUGUUAACUCACCUACAGACAUGUUAUACAUUGUCCCUUUCCUAGCUACACAGACAUGACCUAUAAUGGAGGUUUUUAACCGCCAUUCCGAUUUACCUCUAGUACUUACUUGAUGAUCAGACUGAGAAAGUAUCUUUUGUUCAUCCAAGAGGUUUAAAUGUGGAUCUGGAUUUAUUAAUGUUUAUGUUUUAAAAUUUUAUAAAUAUUUUAGAUUAAUUUUUUAAUAUUAUUUUUUUUGAUAUUAUAAUUUCUUGUUUCCAUAGGAGUUUUAAUAAGUUUUUUUUUUUUUUUUUUUUUUUUUUAUGAUACUAUUUUUUUCAAAUGAUGUCUUCGCCAUGUACCUUAGCCGAAUAUAAAUGAUCAUCAUUAUAUAUGAUAAUUUUAUCAAUUUUGUGAUGGUCAGUUCUAUUAUUUGUUAUAUACAGAUAAGGAAAAUUGUGUAUGUGCAAUACUGUAUAAAAUAUAACAUUAUGUCUUUUUCUCUCUAUAGUAUGUUCCUGUAAUUUUAAAUUAGUCUUGUGAUGGUCAUAUCAUUUUUGUGAUGGUCAUCUCUAUAAUUUGUUAUAUACAGAUAAGGGAAAUUUUGGAUGUGCAAUACUGUAUAAAAUGUAAUAUUAUGUCUUUUUCUCUCUAUAGCAUCUUCCUGUAGAUUUUUAAUUAGUCUUAAAUGUUAAAAAUUAAAGAUGUGAUUUAUUUCUAUUGUUUUUAUAUCUAUUAUAAAUUGUGUGUGUGUGUGUGUGUGUGUGUGUGUGUGUGUGUAUAUAUAUAUAUAUAUAUAUAUAUAUAUAUAUAUAUAUAUAUAUAUAUAUAUAUAUAUAUAUAUAUAUAUAUAUAUAUAUAUAUAUAUCUAUCUCAUGCUCUUUCACUAUUUAAUUGUACAUAUAUUAGAUGAAUUGUAUAUUACUCGUAGGAACGAGUUUCAAAUGCCCACAUUCCAUUCCGUACGAUCAGGUGGUCAGGUACGGAAAUGUGUUCGCCGGCAUAAAGCAUCAAUAAAGUUGUUUGCGUUUCAGGCUGGAUGUGCGCGCAUGCGCGGUAAAGUUUUACCGCAAUGCGCAUGCGCGCAACAAUGAAAGCCGCGCGGUUUCAACUAUUUAAAGCCGGAAGAAAAAGAAAUACACAGCUCUUGAGAAAGUCGAUUGGACGAAACGCGUCGAGCGAUUGGAAGCCUGCCAGUGUCCCUACAGUCCUUGGAUUACAUCCAGCUCUGAGUGAACUACUAUUAGAAGAUUUUAGAACUUUGGAAACUGGGACCCUAUUGCAAGAGAGGACUUUAGCCCAAGAAAGGGGCUGACAAGCUUUUCAGCACAACAUAGACAUAUGUCCCUGUUGUGCAACUACAUUUGUGAGUGUAUUUGCCUUUUAUUAUUUUGUUUGAUUUGUUAUUAAAUACUUCACCAUAUAUAUUAUCUGUUUUUAUCUCUCCGCAUGAAUAUUCAUGAUUACUAUGUGGUAAAUAUAUUCACAUGUUUGUGAUUGUGGCGCCCCCGGUGGUAUGUUUUUUUUAACUAUACUUAUCUGUUUCUUUUGUUCAUCUGUCUCAGAACCAGGGUACCAUGCUUCCUUUGCUUCCCAUGGCCACUGGUCUCCCAUUACCUCCACAUACAAAACAGUUAGUUACAUUAAGACUACCCGCAAUNNNNNNNNNNNNNNNNNNNNNNNNNNNNNNNNNNNNNNNNNNNNNNNNNNNNNNNNNNNNNNNNNNNNNNNNNNNNNNNNNNNNNNNNNNNNNNNNNNNNCAGGUGAUCCGUUACAAUUAUAGUCCAAGAACUGUACUUCCGUCUGGUCAAAUAGGCAUUUGUCAAGUUUCAACAGUAGGUCAGUGCUAAUUUACAGACAAUAUGUAGGUGGGCAGUAACCUUGAAGAAGGGAAUCCCUCCAACCCAACCCCUCAAGGAAACAGAAAAUAGUGCAAAUAGAUGGAUGUUUCCUGCUCUAGACUUGUAAGUAUAAUUUUAACAUGUUGAGAGCAUUAUUCCUUUUAUCAUAUUUUGGAGCCCUGGAUACCCAAACUGUACUGACGGACGCACCUCUCCUGCAUAUCCCAUAAGCAGGGAUUAUACCACUGUACAUCCUCCACUCCAGAUUUGGUUAUAGCUCUUGCAAAUGUGAGUGUACUACCUACUUUUUCAUACAUUUUAUCUCUGGAUCAUAACCUUAUUUGAAAGCAGCCUCUAUUAAGUAGACUCUUUCAAGUAGGAGUUAGAAAACCAGGAGUUACUUGGAGUGGUUUGUAUACUGUGGAGAGUGGUUUGUUUUUUAUUUUUGUUUUUUUAAAUUUACUUAUUUUUUUAUUUUUUUUAAUUUAUUUUUCUGUGUUCUGGUUUCCCCCCCCUUUUUUGUGUGCUGCUGCUUGAUUGAUUGGGGGAGUGUUCAUUAAUUACACCUGUGUGGGAUUUGUAUCCCCAUAAAGGCACACCCCUAACUCACUGAGCUUGCUCACAUUAUUUGAAAGCAGCCUCUAGUAAGUAGAUUCUUUCAAGUAGGAGUUAGAAACCCAGGAGUUACUUGGAGUGGUUUGUAUUUUAUUUUUGUUUAAUCUUUAAAGUUUGUAAGGUUUAAAAAAAAAAAAAAAUUUGUUUUUUAAAUUUACUUUUUUUUGUGUGUUCUGGUUUUCCCCCCUUUUUUGUGCUGCUGCUUGAUUGAUUGAUUGGGGGAGUGUUCAUUGUUUGCACCUGUGUGGGAUUUGUAUCCCCAUAAAGGCACACCCCUAACUCACUGAGCUUGCUCACAUUAUUUGAAAGCAGCCUCUAUUAAGUAGACUCUUUCAAGUAGGAGUUAGAAAACCAGGAGUUGAAACUAACAAGGGGUUUAAACUAUCAAGGUAAUUGUUUUUUUUCCUGUUUAAAGGGGAUAUGAGUGUUAGCAAGAUUGCUGGUUUAACUCAAUGCACAUCUUGUUGCAUGUAUGGCUGCCUGGAUGUACCCGUCCAGGGUCCAUACCUCUGUGAUGGUUGUGUGCGAGUGGCUUCUCUGGAAGCUCAGAUUGGAGAUCUUGAGAAGCAAAUCGCAACUUUGAGGGAGAUUGACAAUCUUGAGAGGAGUCUACUGCUCACUGAGCAGAGUUUAGUGGGGACAGGUAGUGGAGAGGGAGGAGAUAAGACAGAUGGGGAACAGGCAUGUAGCUGGGUGACAGUGGGGCGAGGAAGCAGGGGGGGAGGGAAGAGGAAAGGGCUAGCUAGUCCUGAUUUGGUGCAACCUAGCAGAUUUGCCCGUUUGAGGGAAGAUGUUGGGAGCAUCAGCUCAGGAGUAGCUGUAUUAGAGGAAGCUGUUACUUCUAACAGCCGAGCUAACAGCCCCCCUAGUACGGGUGGGGAUCAAAAUGUAAGGAAGGCAAGACAGGUUGUGGUGGUAGGGGACUCUAUCAUUAGGAGAGCAGAUAGGGCAAUCUGCCGCUCUGAUCGGCUCAACCGGACAGUUUGCUGUCUCCCGGGUGCUCGGGUCCGGCAUGUUGCUGACAGAGUGGAUGGAUUAUUGGGAGGGGCUGGGGAUGACCCAGCGGUCAUGGUCCAUGUUGGUACCAAUGACAAAGUAAGAGGAAGAUGGAAGGUCCUAAAGAAUGAUUUCAGGGAAUUAGGUAGCAAACUUAAGAAAAGGACCUCCAAGGUGGUAUUCUCUGAGAUAUUACCUGUGCCACGUGCUACAGUGGAAAGGCAGCGGGAGAUUAGAGAAGUCAAUGCGUGGCUUAAGUCUUGGUGCAGGAAGGAGGGUUUUUGGUUUUUAGAGCACUGGGCCGACUUUGCGAUUAGGUACAACCUUUAUAGUGGUGAUGGAUUGCACCUAAACGGGAGAGGGUCUGCAGUGCUGGGGGAUAGGAUGGCUAGAAGGUUGGAGGAGAUUUUAAACUAGUAGUAGGGGGGGAGGGUCAUAGCAAUCUACAAAAUGGAGAUAGGACAGAAAGGAGAUGGGCUUUAGCACAGUAUAAGGGGGGUGGAAACGGGGGGAGGGGCAAGCUCAGAACAGAGAAGCUGUGUAAUGUUGAAAAUUCACAAAAUAUACAAGUGACGCAUAAUAUUAAAUGUAUGCUUACUAAUGCAAGGAGCCUAAAUAACAAAAUGGGGGAACUAGAGGCAUUAGCAUACACUAAACAAUAUGAUAUAAUAGGCAUAACUGAAACAUGGUGGGAUGAGACACAUGACUGGGCAGCUAACUUAAAUGGGUACAUGUUAUUUAGGAAGGAUAGGAAAAACAAGAAGGGUGGUGGGGUAUGUUUGUAUGUCAAACAUGAUUUAAAGCCAAAUGUUAAGCAAAUGGAAUGCGAGGAGGAUAAUGUGGAAGCUUUAUGGGUAAAUAUCUGCUUGGGGAAAAGAAGGGAAACCAACUAUUGGUUGGGAUAUGUUAUAAACCACCUAAUGUUAAUAUUGACGAGGAACAACAGCUGUUUGAGCAAAUUGAGAAAGCUGCAAAUCUGGGUAACACUUUAAUUAUUGGAGAUUUUAAUUACCCGGAUAUAAAUUGGGACAGAGGGACUAGUGCCUCAGCAAAGGGAAUUAGGUUUUUAAACUUGUUAAAUGACACCUUCAUGUCACAACUUGUGCAAGCACCAACUAGAAUGGAUGCUUGUCUGGACCUGGUUUUAACAAACAACGUUGAUCUUUUGACCAACAUUCAAGUAGGUGAGCACUUGGGAAAUAGUGAUCACAAUAUAGUGUCCUUUGAAAUAAACUCAAAAAAACAAAAGCACAUGGGGAAUACUAAAACAUAUAAUUUUAAAAAGGCCAAUUUCAAUAAGUUAAGGGAAGCUUUACAAUAUAUUGACUGGCAUAAACUCUUUAGUGAAAAGAACACUGAGGAUAAAUGGAUCAUCUUCCAACAAAUAUUACAAAGGUACAUUUCUCAGUAUGUACCAUUGGGAAAUAAAUAUAAAAGAAACAAAUUAAAACCAACAUGGCUUAGUAGAGAAGUAAAACAAGAGAUUACAACUAAGAGAAGGGCAUUUAAAGCAUUUAAAUCGGACAAAUCAGAUGCAUCUUAUAAAAGAUAUAAGGAUGCAAAUAAUGCGUGCAAAAAGGCAAUUAGACUUGCUAAACUUCAAAAUGAAAUAAUGAUAGCUGAAGAGAGCAAAACCAACCCCAAAGCAUUUUUUAAGUACAUAAAUUCUAAAAAAAAACAAAAUGAAAGUGUAGGUACACUAAAAACUGAAACGGGGGUGUUAAUUAAUGAAGACCAGGAAAAGGCAGGAAUUUUAAAUAACUUUUUCUCCUCCGUAUAUAUUAAGGAAGAACCCAUGGCAAUAGAUGUGCAAAUGAUUGCUACUAAAAACUUGCAGAAUAAUUGUAAUUGGUUAACUCAAGACAAGGUGCUGCAGCAACUAAAGAAAGUUAAUAUAAACAAAGCUCCAGGGCCUGACGGUAUCCAUCCACGUGUACUUAAGGAACUAAGUGCAGAAAUAAGUGAACCUCUGUUUUUAAUCUUUCAAGAUUCUUUUCUUUCAGGAAGUGUUCCGGAGGAUUGGAGGAAGGCAGAUGUGGUUCCUAUAUUCAAAAAGGGUUCAAAAUCCUUGCCUGGAAAUUAUAGACCUGUGAGCUUAACUUCUGUGGCUGGUAAAAUAUUUGAAAGUUUAUUAAGGGAUAAUAUUCAAGAAUUCCUUGAGAAGAACAUGGUUAUCAGCAAAAAUCAGCAUGGUUUUAUGAAGCACAGGUCAUGUCAAACUAACUUGAUUGCGUUCUACGAAGAAGUAAGUAGAAGUAUAGAUCAGGGUGUUGCCGUGGAUGUGAUCUUUUUGGAUUUUGCCAAGGCAUUUGAUACAGUUCCACACAAUAGAUUAGUGUUCAAACUCAAGGAAAUCGGUCUAGAUGAAAAUGCUUGUUCUUGGGUAGAACAUUGGCUUAAAAACAGAGUACAAAGAGUUGUCAUUAAUGGUAAAUUUUCAAGCUGGACAGAGGUGGCAAGUGGUGUCCCUCAGGGGUCUGUUCUGGGACCCCUUCUAUUUAACAUGUUUAUAAAUGAUCUUGAAGACCGCAUUGAAAGUCAUGUUUCAGUGUUUGCAGAUGACACAAAACUUUGUAAAACAAUACAAUGUGAGCAAGAUAUUACUUUGCUGCAGAGGGAUUUAGAUAGACUGGGCACUCAAAUGGCAGAUGAAAUUUAAUGUUGAAAAAUGCAAAGUUAUGCACUUCGGCGUAAAGAAUACACAAGCAACGUAUACCCUUAAUGGAAGCGAAUUAGGGAUAACAACACAUGAAAAGGACUUGGGAAUUGUUAUAGACAACAAACUAUGCAACAAUGUGCAAUGUCAAUCAGCAGUGGCCAAGGCCAGUAAGGUAUUGUCAUGCAUGAAAAAGGGCAUUCAUUCUCGGGACGAGAAUAUAAUUUUGCCUCUUUAUAAAUCACUGGUAAGACCACAUAUUGAAUAUGCUGUGCAAUUUUGGGCACCUGUUCUAAAGAAGGAUAUUAUGGCACUAGAAAAAGUGCAGAGGCGGGCUACAAAAUUAAUAAAAGGAAUGGAACAUAUCGGCUAUGAAGAAAGGUUAACAAAUUUAAACCUAUUUAGUUUAGAAAAACGUCGCCUGAGAGGGGAUAUGAUAACAUUAUACAAAUAUAUUCGGGGCCAAUACAAACCAUUGUGUGGAAAUCUAUUCACAAACCGGACUUUACAUAGGACACGAGGCCAUGCGUUUAGACUGGAAGAAAGAAGAUUUCGUCUAAGGCAAAGGAAAGGUUUUUUACUGUAAGAACAAUCAGGAUGUGGAAUUCUCUGCCUGAAGAAGUGGUUUUAUCAGAGUCCAUACAGAUGUUCAAACAGCUACUAGAUGCAUACUUGCAAAAACAGAAUAUUCAAGGAUAUAAUCUUUCAAUGUAGGGUAAUAACUGCUUGAUCCAAGGAUAAAUCUGACUGCCAUUCUGGGGUCAAGAAGGAAUUUUUUUCCUAGCUUGUUGCAAAAUUGUGCUUCAAAUUGGGGUUUUUUGCCUUCUUUUGGAUCAACAGCAAAAAACAAAUGUGAGGAAGGCUGAACUUGAUGGACGCAAGUCUCUUUUCAGAUAGGUAACUAUGUAACCCCCAUACGUUUUAAAAGGUCAUCUCAGCACCAUCUGCUAUAUAUGUGUUGGGUGGUCCAACCCCAGAGUUAUAAAGGGAACUGUCCUUUACCGGGCUCCUCUCUAAUGCUUAUGGGUUCUUUAUUUUGCAUUACCUUGGUGGCCAAGCUCUGUACAUAGAGUAGGGAUGUGCUUGGGCAAAAAAUUUGGUUCAGUUCGGAAAUUCAGGUAAGUAAAAAAUGUAUCUGCUUUGGCAAUUCAGCCAAUAGUAAUCGGUUCCGUUUGGCGCUUUGGAACCUCGACACUUUGGACAUUCGUAAGCAUCUAAAUGGCCUGAAAUUUGUACAAAUGUACAUUCAGAGCGAAACGAAUUGCAUAUGUCUAAAAAUCAUUAAUUGGCUGUCCUUUAACAUCAAUCACAAAAAUUUGCUUAUUUCAUUGGACAGGAAAUAGUGAAACCAGAUUGGGCAAGCAAGUAUUACAUUGCACAAAAAGAAUUCGCUUAUUGGUCAAUGUGGCGAAAGUGACCUCGCCACUGGCUUUUGGAGUAGCCUGUUUGUCAGCCUCAUACCCUGUGAUUAUGGCCCCUGCAAUAGACCUGGCUAAAAUACUUCAAACAUGCUCUGGGACUCAUUUACCGAACAACCGCAUGAACAGAGACCACCCAGGAGCUUGUUAACACCUAUUAACAACUUGGAACGUUUCUCACCGCAGUGUUCUAAUUGUUCAUCUGGGUGGCCGCUAUUCCUAUGGACAAUCACGAUGUGGUGGCCAUCUUGCGCAUGGCCAGCGGUGUUUGGGCAUGAAUCUCAUUGAACUGAAUUCGGAUACAGAAACUCCCGAACACCGCUGAACUUCCAUCAUCACCUGCGUUCUGUUCUUUACCAGUUAGAAUAGCACUGUUCGCUGGGAUAAUUCAUCUGGAUGAAGGGAACAAGCUCCAGGGUAAGACUAUUGACCCGUUUGGUAGUUUGUUCAUUUUCAAACUACCGAACUAGACCAGCCGCUAGCCCUGAUUCUCUGGAACUGUUUUGGGCAUGGGACCAUGCCUGCGGUCGGUCAAAUAAAUGACUUCCAUAGAAUUUCUGAACCUCUGAACUGAUCUGGGGGAUUUUUUGGAUAUGUUGGUCACCCAGAACAGGGCUAUCAGAGGAUGUAACUAUUAUGGGGAUAUCAUGUGUUUUUUUUUUUUUUUUUUAAAUAUGUGUUUUUUCUGCCUGGAGAUAUCUGACUUAAUUAUCUCCCAGGCAGAGGGGAGGGAUUGUGUGUUGGUUAUGGGAGUGUCAUGCAUUUAAUUACUGUUCUGAUUGGUUUGUAAGCUUUGUGUCCCUGUCCCCAACAAAGCCAUGUGGACGUAACCCUUGCUUGGGACUUGCAUAAAAGGCCAGUGUGGCUAUCAUUAAAACUAAGAUUUACUUCACCCUCAAUUUAGAGUUCUGUCUCUUAUUGUAGGGAACUGCUAUACAGCUAUCCUGGAGGAGAGGCCUUCCCACUGAGUCCCUGGAUCCAGGAGUUUUGUCCAGUGUUGAAAGGGAUGGCGAGACCCCAACCAAGCUGCGGCGAUUCGUGGGUCUAUGGUGCUUAUGGUGUCCAGUGCGGUGCUUAUAGUGCUCAGCACCAGCUAGGAAGCGGUCCUUGGCAUAGGUACCCAGGUGUGUACCUACCACAGUGUUCUAAUUGUUCAUCUGGGUGGCCGCUAUUCCUAUGGACAAUCACGAUGUGGCGGCCAUCUUGCGCGCGGCCAGCAGUGUUUGGGCAUGAAUCUCAUUGAACUGAGACAGUCAAUGGCAGCUCGGAGACAGUCAAGAUUUGUGUAAUCAUUCACAUAAUUUUCCCUUCCUCUCUCUUGUUUUGCCACUUUUCAGAAAUCUGAAUCCCUUCGGAGCUUUGGUCAGUUCCAAACUACAGAACUUCGUAACUUCGGCGCUUUCGAACCUCGGCUCUUUGGACAUUUGUAAGCUUUCGAAUGUCCGAAUGGCAUUAAAUUUGUACGAAUGUACGUACGGAACGAAAUUAAUUGCACAUGUCUAACAUACAGCAUAAUCUCCACUUUUGUGCCAUGGAUUAGUUGCACCCCUGUCCAUUUAAGUAAUGUGAGUUCUGUUUAAAAAUCAUGUCUGUUGUCAGCACGCAAUCUGCAUGGGACAGAAAGAAAAUAUUCUAUCAUUGAAACUAAUUAACAAUUUAUACCAGCACUAGCAAAUGAAAUAUCUCUCCGCUAUACCAUAUCCUAAUCAUACCCUCAUUAUCUGCAUCCGCUCGUGUAUUGGAAAAUGAUGCCAUUUAUAGCAUUUCCCUAUAAUUAACACAAUUCAAUGCAUUACAUUAGCUAUAUAACUUGUUAAAUUAUAAAUUAAUAGUACAUUUUCUUUUGCUGCCUUCAAUCUCAAGUGGAAGAAAUUCCUUCCUUUCUCUCUCCUGUCUCAAUUCGUUCUAUAGGUGCCUAUCGCCUUGUGCUAUCUUGGGGUAAGUAGGAGAAAUAGCUCAGUUGGUAAGUGCCCUGACUGCAACACCUUGUCUAUACUUUGAGGUCACAGUUUUAAUACCUGGAAGGAUCCACUUAAAGUAUAAUGCAUACAUUUACAAGAUGUAUUCAUAACUCCAGAACUUGUGAUAUAAUAACCAAUGCCCANNNNNNNNNNNNNNNNNNNNNNNNNNNNNNNNNNNNNNNNNNNNNNNNNNNNNNNNNNNNNNNNNNNNNNNNNNNNNNNNNNNNNNNNNNNNNNNNNNNNGACUCCCAAUUAUGACACUGACACCAUAUUAGUGGUUGAAAGCAAUUGGCCGCAAGCUUAUUCGAGUUACACACUGACCCAAUGUAAGUAUGUCACCUUCUAACUUCUGUUCUGCCUAGUGGUCAACUGGUACCUUGUCUUCAACCUCAACUCUUCAUCUCGCCUCUCUAAUGAACUACUACAGGUCACAUUUCCCACAGAUUACCAUCCAGCAACAUAAAGCGUUUAACUUGUUUGCAAGGAUCUCCUGCAAUCUGUGAACAGCAAGAGGAACCACAAGCAAAAGACACUAUCCUGACAUUUUCUUAAACAGGGGGAGUGCAGGAUGGUUGUUUGUAAGUAAGAGACCAUUCCUGCCAUGUUGUCCCUUUAAUACCUUGUAGGAACUUUUAUAAUUAUCCAUAUGCAGGGCAAUCGCCUGAAUGUUAACAAAAUGUGAACUUGUACUAACUCAGGCCAGCAGUCACGAAGAACGUCCCACUAGUUCCAGAGAUGAAACCAAAUUUAAGGCCAGCAGAACCAGACAAACUGGGAUUUCACUGUAGUGAAUAACUAUCCGAAUGGGAGAAACAAAAUGGAGUGGGUGGUCUUGAGGGGAUGUAGUCAGUGAAGUGACCCAAGUCACUAGCGCCACCAAAAAUGAUUAGACAUGCCCAGAAAAGGAUCAGGCCUGUGAAGCCCCCAGCCAUCAAGUCCAUGCAGGCUGAAACACUUUGCAUGGUCCUAGUGCCCACUGCACAGCUGGAAUGCGUCUAAUGAUGCUAUUGUAGUGUGCUGCCUGGGGACAGUUCCCUGGUGACCUCAGAUGCAGGAACUAGAUUUGGACAACGCAAGAUGACACUGAAAUCAGGACUGUCCUGGAUUGGAAAUGAUGGCUGAAGGAGAGGUUGGAGUCAAAGAGAACACCAAGGCAGCAAGUCUGCGAGGUAGAGCUGAUGGUAGUGCCAUUGACUUUGAGGGAAACACAGAAAUAGCAACACUUAGGGAUGGAAAGACAAGAGGUUCUGUUGUGAAAAGGUUAAAAAUCUGUUAAGAGUAAUGUUCAUAAAAUGAGCAGGAAGGAAUCUUGGGGAUCACCCACAGAGAGGGAUUGGGGGGAAAAGGAAGAGCCAGAAAAAGAAAGAUUGAAAGAGUGCUGGGAGAGGUAGGAGGAGCACCAUGAGACAGCAGAGUCUCAUAGAUUCUUGUAGACUGAGCUUAAGGAGAAUGAGAAGUUGUUGAUGCUCAGUAGUGCAGAAAGCAGCAGAAAGGUCAAUUAGAAGAGAUUAGCAGCAAUUAAAUGAUUGGAUAAUUUGGCCAGGGCCAUUUCGACAGAGUGAGGAGUGCGGAGAAUCCCGACUGAAGCUUGUUGAGGAGAGAGUUGGAUUUAAGGAAGUCCGUCAGUCUAGCGUACACAACUCUCUUGAGGAUAUUGGUGGCUAGUAUGGGGAGGAGAGGAAGUGGGGUAGCCAGGAAGAAAAGUUUUCAAUAAAUAGGCAAGGAUGACUGGAGGGACGGGGAUAAUGGCAAUUCUUGAAAGAGUGGGUGAUUUUAAGUGGUCAUGGUGCGUGGAGUCUGUAUGUGUCACAUAAUUCUUUGAAAUACUGCACAUUUGGAGUUUAACUCUUUUGCAUCUGAGGUGUAACUCUACAUCUGACAGCAUCAUUGUCCAGUCCGGCGCAGUUCCAAGCCGGCUAAUGUCAAUUUUGUGCAUGUUAUUUUUGCACAUUGUGUCUUUCACUAACUGAAAGUGGCCUGUUGAAUGGUGAUUGCUUUGGGUUCUGGCUUUGCAGAGCUGCAUCAGCAGAGAAGCCUCAGAGCCCAACAAGGAGCCCAGGUAAGAGACUGUUGGGGGGGCCAGUGUACUACUGGCAUCAUAACUGUUACAGUGACCCUUUAACAAACUCCUGUGCUGCUGAAUUAUAAGUCAUAGUGUGAAUUAAUGAAGAUAAAUAAUAUGGGGCUAGAGUUGUUCAGUGCUGUAUAGGUAAGGGUUAGCAUUUUGAAUUGACUCCUAUAGGAUACAGGAAGUCAAUGUAAGGACUGACUGUGGGGGCAAAGUAUGGGAGGAGCAACAGGAGAGAAAAGUCAGCAUUCAUUACAGAUUGUUGUGGGGCAGUACGGGUUAUGAGGAGACCAAUUAGGAGAGAGUUACAGUAAUCCAUGCAAUUAUCAGAGUCUGAAUAAGCUUUUUGACAGCAGACAGGAGCAGACACAGGCAAUGUUUUUAAGGUGGAAUUUCCAGAAUUUGGCAACAGACUGGGUGUGAGAUAUAAAUUUGAGCCUAGACUAAAAAAUAACAUUAUUGCAGAUAGCUUGCAAGAAUGAACUGAUACGUGUCCCAUCAUUUGUAGGGUGAGCUAGAGCAGACGAUUAUUAUUAUAAGGAGGGACGAUAAGAAGCUCAGUUUCAGAAAGUAGGAGGACAUCCAACCAGAGACGGAAGGAAGGUAACCAGUGAUGUGUUCUAGGAUAGUAGGAUAGAGAUCAGGGAAAGAGAGAUAUAUCUCGGUAUCGUCACCGUACAGGUGGUAGCGGAAUCCGAACGAAUUAAUACGUUUGCCAAGAGAGACAGUAAAAAGUGAAAACACAAAACGCUUCUCUCCUUUUGUGGAAACUGACUGGAUUCAAUUCUCUUACAUUGGAACAACUAAACUUUCCAAUGCCGACAUUCUAUCCUAAUAUUCAGAAAUGCGUUUUCAAUUCCCAGUUUAGUAGUUAAACUCUUACGUCUUUCCUUUGACUCUAAUAAUAUAAAUAACAUAAAUCGAUAUUAUCUUGUUUUGCCGACCCAUUUCAUUUCUUUCUUUGUGUCCAUGUAGCGAGACCCGGUUGAAGUUUUAUUCAAAGUAUAUUUAAAAAGGUCUUUUUAUCACUUGUACAAGCUCGGGGCGGCCGAUAUUUCAGGGUCCUGAGGUUUUUAACGUGUCUUAUUAUAUUAUACACUGAGACGAAGUAAAGGCUGACAUGGAUCAUUAUUCCUUUCUCCGUUAUCAUUAGGUUUGGAGCUGUACUCGAGGUUUUCCUCACCCCAUUAGGCUUUUUUAACUCAGGAGAGAGAGAGAGAAAUUGAAAGACGGUUUAACACUGCAAUCAUUAUUUCCAGUAGGCCUCCUCCUUCGUAACAGCACUGCAGAGACCCGCACUAGACAAAUUCAUUUUUAUUAUUUAUACUGGGUGUGAGGCAGUAACAUGCUGGACUGACGAAGCAGCGCGAAUGGCUGUCUGUGGGGGCUUUAUGUACUCAGGAGUUUGCUAGUCAUGACAAACCGUGGAACAGUUAUCAUUAUUGCUCUGAAAUCUGUCAGAAUCUGAUUUGCAUUGAGUAAAGAAAAGCUGAGCUUCGGAGCAGCAUUGGGAGCUGCUGACAGUUAGUGUACAGCAGAAUGUACGGAACACUUUUAAACACUAACGAUCAUAUUGUUUUAUAUCAUGUAAUUGUUCAUUUGUUAUUUCUUCAUUCUCUCUCACAACAUUGUGCUCUCUUUCUCCCUGUCUUCCUUUUAAAUUAUCUUAAAUCUGUACCUAAUCUCUGUACCUUUCUUAACCACUUCACUUCCAAGCAGUUUAUAAAAAAAAAAAAAACACCCCCCACAAUUAUGGGUUCAUGGAAAGUAAUGAUUUUGGAUUUUUCGUUUCAGUACGUAUAGAUAGCGUAAUAAAAACAAACAUUCUGAUUGGACAGAAAAACAUUUAAUUUUCUUUUUUAUCUUUCAUCUUUUUUUUUUUUAUUGAAGUUAUGAAUUGCAUUAACAGCAACAUUAUCACAUAUUACUUUGGUAUACAAUUCAAACAUCUAAAACAUACAUAAAAAAAAUAACAGUAAAAGAGAAAAAAACAAAAAACAAUAAAUAUAUAUAUAAUAUACCUUAUUUUCCGGCGUAUAAGACGACUGGGCGUAUAAGACGACCCCCAACUUUUCCAGUUAAAAUAUAGAGUUUGGGAUAUACUCACCGUAUAAGACUACCCCUCUUCCAACGUACACCAAAUUAAAAUUAAAAAAAAAAACACCUGAGUCCUCCUUACUCACCCCCCUCUCCCUGUGUUCUCCUUACUCCCCCCCUCCCUGUGUUCUCCUUACUCCCCCCUCCCUGUGUUCUCCCUACUCUUUACCCCCCUCCCUGUGUUCUCUUUACUCCCCCCGUGUAUUCUCCUUAUCCUCCCCUGUAUUCUCCUUACCCCUCUAUAUUCUCCUUAUUCCCCCCUCUGUAUGCUCCUUAUCCUCCCCCCUCUGUAUUCUCCUUAUUCCCUGUAUUCUCCUUAUCCUCCCCCUCCUUAUUCCCCCCUCUGUAUUCUCCUUAUCCCCCCUUAUUGGAGUUAGCACUUCGAAUUUCCGAAGUGGUUCGAAGUGGGACUUCGAACUGUCAAACAGCCGGACCACCCGCAAGUGGAGUGUGCUGCUUGUUAAUCUCCCAGGAGCUGUGGUUAACCGAGCUGGGUGUUCGCCGUUCAUAUAGUCGAACCACUUGGGGUUUUUACAGGUAAAAUGCGCCAUCCAGGCCAGGAGACUGAGAAUAGACCCAGACCCAUAAUGACAUGAAAGAUAACAGGACUUUCAUAAUUACUAGGUAUGUAGGUAUGUUUGUAGAGCUGUAUCUAAGACUUCUGAGGUGAAGUCUUAUAUGGAGUAUGGCUCCAAGGUUGGCAGCAUUUUAAUAAUGUCAUAUAUAAUAAUGUUGGCAGCAUUUGAAAAUGUAUUAUGAAAUAAAUCACAAAGCUCAUGUUAUUGGUAAUCAAUAUGAAAAGUUCAAAAAGGCUUAAAUCAGAGUGGCAGAAUUUCAUUAACAAAAAACUGAUUUAGGAAAUGAAGCAGAUGAACCAAAUGGGCACAAAGAUGGCCCAAUCAGUAUACUGCAAAAUAUAUACACUGCUCAAAAAAAAUAAAGGGAACACUUAAACAACACAAUGUAACUCCAAGUCAAUCACACUUCUGUGAAAUCAAACUGUCCACUUAGGAAGCAACACUGAGUGUCAAUCAAUUUCACAUGCUGUUGUGCAAAUGGGAUAGACAACAGAUGGAAAUUAUAGGCAAUUAGCAAGACACCCCCAAUAAAGGAGUGGUUCUGCAGGUGGUGACCACAAUCCACUUCUCAGUUCCUGUGCUUCAUGGCUGAUGUUUUGGUCACUUUUGAAUGCUGGCGAUGCUUUCACUCUAGUGGUAGCAUGAGACGGAGUCUACAACCCACACAAGUGGCUCAGGUAGUGCAGCUAAUCCAGGAUGGCGCAUCAAUGCGAGCUGUGGCAAGCAGGUCCAUAGCAGGUCCAUAGCAUGGAGGUGCUACAAGGAGACAGGCCAGUACAUCAGGAGACGUGGAGGAGGCCGUAGGAGGGCAACAACCCAGCAGCAGGACUGCUACCUCUGCCUUUGUGCAAGGAGGAACAGGAGGAGCACUGCCAGAGUCCUGCAAAAUGACCUCCAGCAAGGCCACAAAUGUGCAUGUGUCUGCUCAAAUGGUCAGAAACAGACUCCAUGAGGGUAGUAUGAGGGCCCGACGUUCACAGGUGGGGGUGGUGCUUGCAGCCCAACACCGCGAAGGACGUUUGGUAUUUGCCAGACAAUACCAAGACUGGCAAAUUAGCCACUGACGACCCGGGGCUCUUCACAGAUGAAAGCAGGUUCACACUGAUCACAUGUGACAGACGUAACAGAGUCUGGAGAUGCUGUGGAGAACGUUCUGCUGCCUGCAACAUCCUCCAGCAUGACCGGUUUGGCAGUGGGUCAGUAAUGGUGUAGGGUGGCAUUUCUUUUGGGGGCCGCACAGCCCUCCAUGUGCUCGCCAGAGGUAGCCUGACUGCCAUUAGGUACUGAGAUGAGAUCCUCAGACCCCUUGUGAGACCAUAUGCUGGUGGGGUUGGCCCUGGGUUCCUCCUAAUACAAGACAAUGCUAGACUUCAUGUGGCUGGAGUGUGUAAGACGAAGGCAUUGAUGCUAUGGACUGGCCCGCCCGUUCCCCAGACCUGAAUCCAAUUGAGCACAUCUGGGACAUCAUGUCUCGCCCCAUCCACCAACGUCACGUUGCACCACAGACUCUCCAGGAGUUGUCAGAUGCUUUUAUUUUUGUGUGAUUUUGUUGUCAACACAUUCAACUAUGUAAAGAACAAAGUAUUUCAGAAGAAUAUUUAAUUCAUUCAGAUCUAGGAUGUGUUAUGUUUGUGUUCACUUUAUUUUUUUGAGCAGUGUACAUAACAUGAUUAGAAUAUAAAUGUAAUAAUAUAAAUAGUAUGUAUAUAUUUUGCAUUACACUGACAGGAGACUUUCCUGCCAAUUUGUUCAAUUGGGAAAAAAAGUAAACAAAAGAUGGAAAAAUAGAAGCAGUAAAAAAAAUAUACAAUAGAUCCUUUACUGCCCCUCCUUUUCCACUCUAUCAGUCACUUCUCACUUAAUUUAUGAAUAAAAUCAACAUUUAGUGACUUUUUAACACAUUUCCCAUCAAUCAUCUAGUCUUUUAAUGUCAUGGGUGGAAACCAGAAUCACAAAUCAAAAUGUUACAGCUCAGAGUUCAGAAAUUCGCCCAAUCAACCGAUUGUUCCAAAUUUACACAAAUUGUAGUUUGGACCGAAAGUCUAGUUUGAAAAAAGCCACGAUUGGUCAAUAACUACUUGUGAUUAUAUCCAGCAGAUCUCACUGUCUCUCAUUAACCCUCAAAAGCUCCCAGAGGUUUCAAAAGUAAGAGAGUACUCACUAUGCUUCAAACAAUAACAUGAACAUUUAAUCCAGUUAAGCAUUUCAGUCCUCACUUUAGAACAGCGUUUCCCAAUUGGUGUUCCGUGGAACAAAAAUGGGGUUUCGCCAAAAUUUCUAACAACAAAAUGGCCGCGGGCGCCCAGGGAGAAGUGGGCAGUGAUCUCGCUUCUCAGCUCCCUCUCGCACACAGCAGUGAUGCCAGAGACAGAUUAUGACAUCACUCCGGCUCCGGCGUCACUAAGAGGUGCGCGAGGGAGCUGAGCAGGGAGAUCACUGCUUCCUCGCCGCCUGCAUGCCAGCCACUCAGCAGCCCCACUGAACCCCAUGGACCACACGCCAGCCACUCAACAGCCCCACUGGACCACGGGGACAUAGAGACUCCAUGCCAGCACUCCCAAAGGUAGGGAGGCUGGGUGGAGUAAAAUUUUUUAAAAAAAUAAAAAAAAUUGUAUGUGUGUCUGUCAGGGAGUUUGUAUGUGCUUGUGUGUCUGUCAAAGAGUAUAUGUGCGUUUGUCAGUGAGAGUGUGAGUGUGUAUGUGUUUGUCAGUGAGAGUGUAUGUGUGUCUGUCAAAGAGUAUGUGUGUCUGAGUGUGGCUGUGUGUGUCUGUGUGUCAAGGUUUGUGUAUGUGUCACUGUGUGUAUCUAUGUGUGUGUAUCAGUAUGUCUGUGUGUGUGUGUAUGUGCCAGUGUAUAUCAGUGUGUUUGCAUGUGCCUGUGUGUGUGUAUGUUAGUGUGUGUGUGUGUGUGUAUCCGGGUGUGUCAGUUUGUGUAUAUGACACUGUGUGUAUGUGUCAAUGUGUGUGUAUCUGUGGGUGCAAGUGCGUGUAUAUGUCACUGUGUUUAUCUGUGUGUGUGUAUUUGUGAGUCAAGAUGUGUGUAUGUGUCACUGUGUACAUCAGAGUGUGUGUAUGCAUUUCUGAGUGUGUGUAUCGGUGUGUGUGUCUGUGUGUCAGUGUGUAUCUGUGUGCCACUAUGUGCCAGUGAGUGUGUGUAUCUGUGUGUCAGAUACAUAUACACACACACAGAUAUACACUGACACAGAGAUACACACACACCGGCACUUACAAACACAGAUACACACACCGGCACUUACAAACACAGAUACACACACUUUGACACUUUGACACAUAGAUACACACACCUUGAUAUCCAGAUACACACACACACACAGAUAUACAUUGUGUGUCAAGGUGUGUGUAUCUGUUUCUGUGUGCCAAAAUGUGCCAGUUUGUGUGUAUCUGUGUGUCAGAUUUAUACAAACACAGAUACACACACUUUGAUACACAGACACAUACAAACACAGUGUUACGUCCUAUUCCAUUUUGCGGAUAAGUCUGGCCUUGGCUUCUGGUAUCCAGUACUCUUUUUACAAUUCUUGUUUAGUUUUUCUUGUUUUUUCUGCUUUUCUUUAUGCUGGGUUUUCUGGGUACAUUCCUUUAUUCCGUUUCUGGAAUUCCUAGUCUCCUGGAUUCCUUUAAAUGUUUGUUUGUUGUUGCCACACCCAUUAAUCCUUUUUGUUUUAGUCUGCUGCUGCAAGCAGUGGUCUCAUUACCUCUUUCUUUGCAGGUAAGUACUCUGUGUGUUUUACUAUUUAUUUAGCCAUGCAUAUCUAGGCAGUUAGGACCCACCGUAAUUGGAGUACUUUGGCGCAGUGGUGGGCUGCAUACAUCUUUGCCAUUUAUGUAUGUCUAAAUCUCCAAUGUUAAUUACAUAUGUAGUACUUAGUUAUGUCUCCUCUUGAUUUGCCUUGUAUCUCUUGUCUCGUUUUAUUUGUCUUGUAUUCCCAGUUCAUGUACAGUCCUGUCCUGUCCAUGUCCUGUUCAUGUUUCCCUCAUGUAUUGUGUACAUGUUCUCGGUUCUUAUUUCUCUCCUGCUCCGGUUCUGGGUUCUUCUAGUCCUGUCUUGUUAUCUUGUAUGGUGCCUAUUCUAGUCUUGCCUUGUUUCUAGUACUGGAUACAUAUCUGCUGCAGAGCCUCCUUAUCCAGAUCCUGGGAGGUCUGCUUAAUAUCAGCUCCUGGCAUCCGCUAAGCUGCAUCAGGGGUCUGCAAUGUGGCCGCACAAACGCUGGUGCGCAACACCAGGGGGCGUGUGUUUACCCUGGACCAGACCCUGAUUGUCCAUUUCCACGCUGAGACUCCCAUCAUCAUUAUCAGGCAUACAGGGGUCCCGGUCUUCGGACCGCCACCCGUGACACACAGAUACACACACUAUGACACACAGAUACACACACUUUGACACACAGAUACAUACACACACACAGUAACACCGAUACACACACUGGCAUAUUCAAACACCCACCGACACAUACAAAGAACGGCGCAAUUUUUUUUCGGGGAGGAGGGGGAGUUUGGGGGUUCCACGGUGUUGAUACACUAUGUCAAAGGGUUCCACAGGAAAAAUUAAUUGGGAACCCCUGCAUUAGGACAUUUAUCAGUUAGUUGAAUGAAUAAAAUCAUGAAGGAAAGUUCACUACAGCAUGCGACCACUUCUUGCAAAUUGUAAAAAUGAUCGAGUUAGAAUAAUUUAUUAUAAAAAGAAGUCACCCUUACUGUCCUGUCUUGGAAUCCCAUGCUAGUUUCUUUGCCAAGAGAUAUUUCUAAACCAUCACUUCUGAAAAGUAAGAUAAAAUCAUGCAAUAUGGACACAGCCAUACUUUACGUUACAUUUAUCUCUUGAUAUUGGCACCCAUGCAGGUACAUCGUGUAAGUGUGACAUCAUCUGGUUCACUGUGGCUGUUGCCGUAAAUCUUACCGGCCCGGAUUGGCAUUUCCUCUCCACACCUUAUUUACUGUCUUUAUUGUACUUUUGUGCUUGUUUUCAUUUCAAUUUUCACUGUCUUUCUCUGUCCUUCCUCCCUUCUUUUCUCCCACUUUUCCUACCUACCGUCCUUCUCUCCCUUCCUUCCUUCCUUCCUUCCCCCAUCCUCCCUUUCUCCCUCUCAUCCUCCCAUCCUCCCUUUCUCCCUCUCAUCCUCCCUCUCAUCCUCCCAUCCUCCCUCCUUGCCCCAUCCUCCCUCUCUCAUCCUUCCUCUCAUCCUCCCUUUCUCCCUCUCUCAUCCUCCCUCUCAUCCUCCCUUUCUCUCUUUCAUCCUCCCUUUUCCCCUCUAAUCCUCCCUUUCUCCCUCUCAUCCUCCCUCUCAUCUUCCCUCUUAUCCUCCCUUUUUCCCUCCUUCUCAUCUUCCCUUUUUCCCUCCUUCUCAUCCUCCUUUCCCCCUCUCAUCCUCCCUUUCUCACUCUCAUCUUCCCUCUCAUCCUCCCUCUCAUCCUCCCUUUUUCCCUCCUUCUCAUCCUUCCUUUCUCCCUCCUUCUCACCCUCCCUUUCUCCCUCCUUCUCACCCUCCCUUUCUCCCUCCUUCUCACCCUCCCUUUCUCCCUCUAAUCCUCCCUUUCUCUUUCUCAUCCUCCCUUUCUCCCUCUCAUCCUCCCUUUCUCCCUCUCAUCCUCCCUUUCUCCUUCCCUCCUUGCCCCAUCCUUCCAGAUCAUCUUUCUUUGUCUUUUUUGACCUCCUGCUUCUCCCUCUGUGUGCUUGCUUACUCCAUAACUUUAUCAUUCCAUCCCUCUUUCUGUCUCUCCAUUUGUAUCUCUCCGUUUUCAUUCAGAAUAUCCUUUUUUAUUUCUCCAUUUUCUGCUAUAUAUUACAAUAAAUAACAUGUAUCUGUGUCACAAGGCUUGAUGCAUUAUUUAUUUAAUCACCGUUUCAGUUCGUGACCACUUUCAUUAAAACAAAUGCAUUUUCCUUAUUUUAAAGGAGACACGUUAGUUAUUAUAAUAUGUCUAGACAUGACAAGACUCCCAGCUUCCUGUACAGCACAAAUCACUCUGAUUUAUCAAAGUCUGCUGCUUACCGAGCCAGAAACUCAGUCAGAACCUAACGAACAAUCAUUUUCUUUAUUUACAUUUUGUCUUAUGUAACUGGAGGCUCCUGGCUUUAAAGUGGCAGUGCCAAUUAUUUGCUGAGAGUGCUGGGAGUGGAUUGGCCAGGGAGAGGUUAAUUCAGUGCUCUCACAGGCUAUUGUUUCUGUCUGAAUCAGUUUUUGUCAUCUCUUGCCACCACACUACGUGACGCUUGUCUCCAAAUGUGUCCAGGUAAGUCAGGAAAGGUGUGUCACCUGCGUAUUUUCUCGUGUGAUAAAACUGAUAUUUUAGCAAUUAAUCAAUGCAAUAAUGAGUAAGAUCUCAUUUCGCUUUUCUCUCCAUACGAAUGUCUGUCUGUCUGUCUGUCUGUCUGCAUGUUUUAAAUCGAAUGCAUCCCAAAUCCUUAUCCCAAUCUGUCCAUGUCUCUUGGAAGCUACGUUUAGUUCUCUGACUUGGAGCUUGUCGCUCCUUCCGUUGCUUAAUUCAUGUCUAUUCCAACACAGUCUGUGAAUAUUAUUGGAUGCAGUUUGUUUUCUUGCUGUUUUUUUGGGAUGCCCCUUUAGGUGGGAUCAGUCUAUUUUGCUAAUGGUGUACAUUUUCUUUGUAAAACUUGUUUAAAAGUUGAGUGGGGACUCAUCGUAGUGAAUUGUACUCUCAGUGUAUUCUCACUGAGUGUACAUUAAAUUCUGACGGAAUCCUGCAUACAGCAAUGGUUGUACAUUUACUGUUACAUCAAAACACUUGAAAGUAUAUUAUUCACAUUUAUAAUUUGCAGAAUAGAGUAGAUUCAGAUUUACACUGAGCAUUUUCUGGUUACUCACAUACGUAAUAUAUGUAUAGAAAAUUAUUUGUGCUAACAUAGCCCCCAACAUCACACAAAUAGUGUCACGAUUGCUGUUCAAGGGCAAAACCACCAAGAAAGGGGGUGAAUCCACCUGAAGAAUGGGCCGGCUAAUCGCCUAUCGCCUAUCAGUCGUUCAGGCUGGCCACUAAGGGAAGACUGCGCAGGGAGCAAUGCUUCAGCACAGGUUUAGUAAAUAUACGUUACUAUUAAACGUGUAGCCCAGACAGCAGCAGGAUCCGGCAUAAUAUCACAGACUAUUUCCCAAGGCCAAGUCUGACUCUUCGCUCGAUGCAGACAUUAGCCUCUAUUUACUGCACAGUAGUGAUGGUGUUACUUAACACUUAUUAAGAUGAGCUCUCUCCCAAGUACAGCUAAACAAACAGCGCACACAAAAAAACAAAUACAGUGUACAAGGUUGCUUAAAAUCACCUAUUUCAGCAAACAAAUACAUUCAGCUACACUAUAUGGACGUAGUGUGUUAAACCCACCACUACGUCACAGUAGCCCAAUAUCAGUGGGUCCUACACUAAUUGUAACAUGGGAGAUUUACAUGUUAAGUUAAUUACUUACAGCUUAAACUGCUUAACGAGACUCCUCAACCCAAAAGGAAUCUCGUCUGGGUUCCAAAUCUACACAGAAAAAAAUGGGAAUUGUGGGGUACACCCAGAACAUGCAUUUCUAAGCAAUGGUGCUGCCGUGAAGCCUAAAAUCUCUAUAAAAUACAGUUAAACUCUCUCCUGUCUGUCGUACGGACAUAAGGCUGGCAAAAGAACUAUCGAUAACAAAACCUCGUUACCUUCUCUCUGAUUAGUAGAUAUACUGUUAUUGGCUGAAGCAUGAUAAAUAAAUACAAUUGUGAAGUAUCUACAAAGGUCUGUCAAUGCUAUUUUACUGGAAAAACACAUCUCACCUCUUCUGAUGCUGAAAGUCCUAGCGUGACCUAUCUAACUCCCGUAUUAUAGAUGUAUAUCCCCAAUACUUUAAUUUACUGUGUGAGAGAAAUGUCGGCAUCCGGUGUGAUGUAAUGAGAGUACAUUAUUUAUUUUUUUCUGUUUGUGAGCAACAGAUAUUCUGAGUUUGUUCUAAAUAAUUUAAAUACAGCACUCAGUGUGUUUCAGAAGGCCCUGGCCAGUUUUAUUCCACAUUUACUUAUCUCCUCCUGAUAGGCUGUGUGUGACCUGCACGCUGACAGACAAUACAGUCGCCCCCCCCUCAACAUUCCGGCCAACUCUCGGAGAUGAGAGGGUGUUGGGCUCGCCAGUGAUCCCCACAGACGGGACACGCAUUCACCCCAGGCUGGCUGAGAGCAUCCCAGCUGUCCUCAAUCAGGGCAGACAAUGCAGAGAAUAUUGAAGACCACCAGAUACAUGAGCUAGACUCAGCCAAUUGGCUGAGAGUGAUAAACUGCAACUUUUAAUCAAUAAAACUAGCACUUAGUUCAGGACAGCUAACAGAAGCUUCUGUCUAGGACCUCCAGUACUCCUAAAACCAUGUAUUUAUUAUUAUUUAUUUAUUACUGCUAUUUAUAAAGCGCCAACAGAUUCCGCAGCGCUGUACAAUUAGUGGAGAAACGUACAAUAUACACAGACAAAUACAAGAGGUAGAGAGAGCCCUGCCCGUAAGCUGAUAUCCAGCCAUUGGAGCUCUUUUAUACAAAGCGCUUGGCUAAAUGGCUUACAAUCUACAGGAUACCAUGGGGAUUUGAGACAAGAGGUAGCAGAGGCAGCAGGGGUAAUAUAUUCCUUUAAUAUAUUUCUAUGAAUUUGUUUAUCAUAGGCCUCAAUUUAAUUCUGUUUAAAACAACAAACUACUUUUGAAAUUAUUUAUGUAUAGAAGUCAGCAUGGAAGCCUGUGGUAAUGUCCGUGCAUAAAUCAUUUGAACAGUUUUUCAAAUAUUUAUAUAUUUUAUUUUAGAGUCCCAGCAAAAAAAGUGUAGCUGGAGUCUGGAAUAGUAUCGUGUUUUAAUGACAUUAGAUAUCUGAAGAAAGUAAAAUAAAAUAAAAAAAUAAAAAUUCUAUUAUUCCCGUCUUUAAAAAAGAUCAGAUAAAAAAGUUAAAAGAAAAUUCUUGACCUGCGUCCCGCCGCUGUCACUGGUGACAAUUGAUGGUUCCGCUGCUACGUGGAGAUGAAUGUCGAACUAUGGACCUUACUUAUCAUACUGGGGUGACUGCUCGGCUCUCUCACUAACCAGACUCCAAUCUAGCUCUUCUCUAAUUAACCGUUACUUCAACUCAGACAUGUAACGUGAAAAGUAAUUAACUUGAUGAUUAAACUAUAUCCUGUUAAUGAUAAUUGGCAAAGAUGCGUAUACGGCUAUUGUUACUAAUAGUUACGAGAAUUUGCCGGGGGAUCAUUAAUUGCAUUGGUAAUCGAGAGUGCGGAAUCAAUCUGUUUUCUUGGGGAUUCUACGAAAUGUUACAGUGUGCAGAAAUGCUGUGUUUAACCCUUUCAUGACUGUUUUCUUUGUCAGUAUGUGUGUGUUUUAGCUGUGCUGUAUGUUAAACAAUGAUUCCCAACCAAUUGCACAAAAUGUAUCAGACUCUUUUCACACGGUUUGUGCUAAACUGGUGCAGCUAAACUCACUUGGAGAUCUCAUUUGUUUUUUGGCUAUAAAAUUUCACACUGUUGUAAGUUCCCAUAGAAACCACUGAACCCAAAACUGAUAAAAAAAAUAUAUAUAUAUAAAUAUUUUUAGAACAGGAAACCUCAAGGUAAGGACACGCCAUGCAGUCAUUUUAUCACCAAAUCUGCUACAUUUUAAUAUUUGUUAUGGAAGGUGUUCAUGUCUCGAUUUAAUAAACUUUCCAAAUGAUUCGAUACUGUUAGAAAAUAUUCCAAAUGAAGCAACAUUAUUAAUUAGUAUUCCAACCAGUAUCUACAAAUAAAUUACAUGUUGCAAUCUGCCUUUCUUAGUAAAUACCGAUAUGUCCUCGCUUUUAGGGAGUUCAAAAACUAGUUAGAUACAUGUUGAAAAACGAACUAGUAAAGUCGCUUUUCCCAAUACUCAAAUGCUAUGAGUUUCAGUGCAUGAUACGACAGUCACAGCUUGUCUUAUUAUGGGAUGUUGAAAUGAUGAUGUCUCUGGCACAUUAUCCAUCUUCAAGUGGUUAAUAUGCAGACAAUCAUAUAACAUGAAUAUAACUCAUCCCUGCUGCGUUUCAUGCUAGCUGUUAUUUGAUCAUGUCCGAGGCUGCGUUUAUGGAAUCAAUAGCAAUUUAUCAGCAAUCCUUAGUGAUCAGGGAAAUGGACUAACUAGCCAGCUGCUGCGUUGUUAGAAUGGAUGUAAACAUCCCUGUUCUCAUAUCUAUAAAUCAGAAUAAUUAGGCUGAUAUUUCAAUAUUCCUUCCAACAGCAUUCUGAUCUUUGUGAAAAUACAAAAUGUAAAUUUACUAAUAGGGUCAAAACGACUCAGAAAAUAUCUAAACGCAUAUAAAAAAAAACCCAACUGGAGAUGCAGUUUUUGUUUUAAAAAGGGAUGUUCUGUAUGACAGAAUGUGUGAUUCAACAUAAAACCAUAUAAGAUUAAAAGAAAAUGGUGUUUUGUACAUUUGUUGUAUUGACCUCAAUGAUCCAUUUCUUACAAACAACAAUUAAUUAGUUGAAAUCUCGUAUUGUUAGAGCAGAUCAGUCACAUAUUAAACAGCAGAAUAAAAUGGGCUAUUACACGCUAUUUUAAUAGAGAUUUUUUUUUUUUAGAGAUUUUUUUUUUAAUAAAAAACAGUGAAUUGAACAAAAAAGUUUCCCAAGGAUGAUGUAUUGGAAGAGAAGCUACGAGACAAAACCAAGUCAGACAUUUUACUGAUUGGGAAUGCUGUAAGAAGCAAAGACUAAAUGUUAACCUCAUGUAAACAUGCGUUAAUGUGAUCAAGCCAGUAGCCCCAUGCAGUAAGCGCAGUUUAGUGGAAAGGAUCCUUGACAGGGCUAGGAGGCGGGCAUAGAUAGAUCUGAGCAAGGAUUGGUAGUUUUGGCUCGGGGGGGGGGGGGAUCAUAUAUAUAAAUGCAACCAUUUUAGUCUUGGUCAAUUCUAAUUUACUUACCAGUGUGUACCCUCCACCCAUAGUUGGUUGGGUUUCUGUUUCUAUCCCCGCUUGGUCACAGUGGCCAGGCUGGUGAGGUGAAGAUUAAGGUGGAAUAUGGUCUUUUAGUUAGGAAACGAGUUGAGGUAGUUAAAAAGCAGUUGAUUAAAAUAAGUUUGGUUAUACAGUCAGUUAUUGAGUUGGAGGUUUCUAGUCCGUCGUUGGCUCAGAAGGGUAAAGAUCUAUAGAAAACAUUUACUCCAAUCAAUAAAAAGGCAGCAGUAGGUCCUACACGUUUCGCCCAACAAUCUUGGGCUUCCUCAGGGAUCAUCAACAGUAAAUACAUAAAUCGAAUGUAUAAACCCCCACACCACAGUGUCCAUAUAUACAGUCCUUGUAUAGGUAUCCUGUUGGUCCAUGUUCCUGCCUGAUCUUCAAUGUUCCUUUCACUGUUUGUAUCCCUGUGUAUGAAAAUCUUGUGUAUGGAACGCACUAUGGAACACAAAAGUAUCCAGGAUGCAAAUUGGAAUGAUAACCUUUACAAUUCCAAAGGUAAUUGAAAGUGUCAUAAGGUGUGUGAUGGACAUACGAUGGACAUACUUUGAUAGACAAACAUAAGUUGAUGGAUAGACUUACUUUGGCGAAGAGAUUUACAUUAAGAGACUUACAUUGACAUACAGACUUACACUCACAGACAGACUUACAAUGACACAGACUUACACUGACAUACAGACACAUUGGUGGACAGAUUUACAUUAAAAUAUAGACUUGCAAUGACACACAGAAUACAUUGAUGGACAAACUUACAUUGAAGGAUAAACUUACAAUGACAGACAGACUUACAUUGGUGGACAAAUUUACAAUAAUAGACAGACUUAAACUGACAGACUUACAUUGAUGGACAAAUUUACACUGACAGAUUUAGGUUGAUGGCCAGACUUAAAUUGACAGACAGACUUACAUUAUCACAUAAACGUUGCUGACAGACAGACAUACAUUGAUUUUACAUUUCUGAGUUCGCUUUUAGUGUCUUUAUACAAACAUGGAUUUUGACCGCAAACAAAAUCCCAUCAGUCCAUUUUUAAUCUGUAACUUGCCCCAGAUAAACAUUUAGAUGUCUACUUUCUUUUCUGUUUUGUCUCCUUUUGCAUUAGCACCUACCAACCCUGCUGGAUGUGUAUUCUCUGUAUGUACAACCCUUUCUGUAAAAACACAAAUAACUUCUGAUGUAAGUGAUACAUUUGUCUUGCUGUUCUGUCGCUUUGUUCGAGAUCACCUCUUUAUACAGGGCGUAACAUUCUUACUAAAUCCAUUGUAAUAUUUGUGUCUGUUUUACAGGUCGCUUUAUUUCAGCAAAUUGUUUUAUACACAGCGGAAGCGAAGAGGCUGGUGCGGUUGCAAUCGAUUAUGACACAGUAACAGUUCCGCACAUUAUCUCUGUGUUACACACUAUGUACUAGGUGAGCCAUCGUUUGCCAUUAUCUUUCAGCUGUAAAAUUGAUGCAGGAUUUUUUCUCCAGACGUAUCCCAGAUAAGAAAUUGCUUUGCUUUUCGGUGGGAAUUUUUUUCCCAUUAGUAGAUAUUUGGGGAGUUUUAUGAACCUCUGAGCGCUAUAUAUAAAUAAAAAUGCUCCUUCGAUAUGAUCUCACCCAUUGCUCUGCUAAAUUGAACUGAGGUUUGUCACCUAGCCUGUAUAUUAAAACAUUUAGCCCUAAGUCAUUAAUAAUCCCUUGAAGCUUGCAAUCGGAUAGCUGUUUUUAUUUAUGCUAGCUCCCCAGAAAGCGUGGAUAUUUCGCUGAAUUAGUCUGUUUUUCUGGGUAAGAUCCAUGGAGUGAUGUCUCUCAAUCAAUAGUUUAGUGUAAGAAUGGCGUGGUAUAAAGACUAUUAACCAUUUAUUUAGUCCUAUGUGUUUCUGAAGUCAGACCUAUCGUGUAAACCCCCCAUCACUCCGAUAGCUCUAUGUGAACCUCUUCCGCUAAUUAGAUGAUCAGUAUAUUCAUUUUUACAUUUAGCUAUUUAAUUAUCUUUUUUUUUUCUGUGAAACAGACUGUGAUUUAAUUACCUGUUAUAUCUCACACAUUCUCACUGCAAAAAAAAUUACACUUUUUCCCCCCCAAAAAAUUCUAUUUUGUAUGUAAAUGCGAUAUGCUAUUAAGUGAUAGAAAAUAUACUUGAAUACAGCUGACUGGGUUUUGGUAAAUAUUAAUCUGUUUUUUCAUUCUUUGAUUUAUUCUGAAUUGUAGUCAAUUGAAAUCCAAAUGGCAAAAUCUCGGGGGAAAAAAAGCUGGUUUGGAAAAUCUCAGCUGUACUCGUAGUUCGGAUAUUUUUUACUCUGCAAAUCGAUGUUUAGUAAGUAAACCCCUGUGAGUAAAAAAGACACUGAAACAGACCACUACGUAACUAACAAUUCCACAAGAGUUUACCUGCAGAAAAUGAGCUAAUUAAUAAAUCAGUUAUUAUUAUUUUUUUUUACCAUCAUCUGCAAAGUGUCAACAUAUUCUGCAGCACGUAUUGUGCCAUUUAAUGGUUCUGGGUAGAAUAUGAACCCAUUGUGGUAUAAAAUAGGCCCAGAAAGAAAUACACAGGAGUUUUUUUUUUUUUUUUUUUACUAAUGUGAGGAUUCAUAUUGAAUUUCAAAUUUCAAGCCAUAGUAGCUAAACUUAAAGCAUAACAGACUUUGGCUAAAUUGGCCAUAAAUUAGGAUUUCUCUGUGAAUUCACAUAGAAUUCUCACUUCAGUAAAUAACCCUGGCAACAGUGUUGGGGUCACAGCUGCCACUGGGCCAUCACUCCAGGGGGCCCAGCUUCCCUGUCCGACCCCUGCUGAUUUACAACUCAGACUUGCACACUAAGGGCGCCCAUUGGGUGGUCCAUGCACUUAUGGCCACCCGAUGGGCAUUUGUCAGCAGGAGCCCGGACAGGUGCUGUGGCCCUUUAACAGCACGACUGGUUUCCCUACUUAUCAGCAGCAUGAGAGGAAGUGAGAGCUGGUCACUUCCUCCUACAGAAAGAGAAGAAGGCAUAGAGGAGGAGGGCUGGGCCAGGAGAGACAGACCCAAACACCCUAACGCCUCAGUCAGUGCAAAGGACUCCAGGGAAGCCACCCUCCUGCAGCCAAAAGGUAGGAAACUAAAGGGUAGGUAUAAGAGUGGAAAUUUUCAUCAGCAUAUGUGUGUGUGUGUGUAUGUCUGUCAGUGUGUGUCUAUAUGUCUGUAAGUUUGUGUAUCUGUAUCUCUGUCAGCGUGUGUGUGUGUCUAUCAGUGUGUGUAUCUGUAUGUCUGUCAGUGUGUGGGUGUCUGUCAGUGUGUGUAUCUGUGUGUGUGAAUCUGUAUGUCUGUCAGUGUGUGUCUAUAUGUCUGUAGGUUUGUGUAUCUGUAUGUCUGUCAGCGUGUGUGUGUGUGUAUGUAUCUGUGUGUCUGUCACUGUGUAUCUGUGUGUGUGAAUCUGUAUGUCUGUCAGUGUGUGUCUAUAUGUCUGUAAGUUUGUGUAUCUGUGUGUUUGUCAGUGUGUGUGUGUCUAUAUGUCUGUCAGUGUGUGAAUCUGUAUGUCUGUCUGUGUGUGUGUGUCUAUAUGUCUUUCAGUGUGUGUUACUGUAUGUCUGUCAGUGUGUGUGUGUGUGUGUGUGUGUCUAUAUGUCUUUCAGUGUGUGUUACUGUAUGUCUGUCAGUGUGUGUGUGUGUGUCUAUAUGACUUUCAGUGUGUGUUACUGCAUGUCUGUCAGUGUGUGUAUCUGUGUGUGUGAAUCUGUAUGUCUGUCAGUUUGUGUGUAUCCGUGUGUCUCUGUCAGUGUAUGUAUGUGUGUGUGUCUAUAUGUCUGUCAGUGUGUGUAUCUGUAUGUCUGUAAGUUCUUGUAUCUGUGUGUGUGAAUCUGUAUGUCUUUUCAAAUAAUUUUUAUUAAAGUUAUAAUGUUUUUACAGCAAAUUAUAACGAAUAGUCAAACAUACUAUUUGGAGUAGGAAAGGAAAGGGAAACAUGGAAAUUGAAAAGGGGAUCCAUCCAUUUUAGUUAACACAUGAAAUAAUGUACAAAACAUUAGUUAUACAUCAUUGAGCUUAACAAAAUAUAUACUCUAUAAGCAGCAUUUUUUUUUAAAUAUCUUAUUCCCAUUUAUCCAAAAUAUGUUGAAGGUUUGCAAAUAAAUGUGUGUUUUUUCUAUAAGACAUAUUAGCCUUAUUGUCUAAAACCAUGUUCAAAACUUCUUUACGUGUAGAUAGAUUUUUAGACUUCCAGUAUCGAGGUAAACAUGAAGUAGCUGCGAGUAGGAUGUGGCCUAUUAUUAUUCUAUCUAUUUUCGUAACAGACUCCGGGAAUUUCUUAAAUAUUGCUAUCUCUGAUGACAAGAUACUUAUAGCCUUGUCCACUUUAAUGACAAGGCUGUCAGUUUGUUUGUAUUUUUAUGUCUGUUAAUGUGUGUGUGCAUGUAUAUUUAUGUCUAUCAAUGUGUCUGUGUGUCAGUAUGUGUAGCUGGAUGUGCAUCAGUGUGUGCAUCUCUGAAUUUGUAUCUGUAUGUGUGUCAGUGUGCAUAUCUGUGUGGGUUUAUCUGUAUGUGUGUCUAUGUGUGUAUCUGUGUGUCUGUAUCUUUAUGUGUGUAAGUUUGUGUAUCUGUAUCCGUAUGUGUGUUGGUAUGUGUAUAUAUGUUUCUGUAUAUCUGCAUGUGUGUCAUUGUUUAUAUAUGUGUAUCUGCAUGUGUGUCAGUGUGUGUAUCUGUGUGUAUCUCCCCGGCUACUGAACAAGAGGUGGCUUCGCUUCUCCUAUCCUCUCGCCCCUGAACUUGCCCGCUUGAUCCUAUCUCAUCUCACCUUAUUAGAUCUCUCCCCCUAUGUCUUGCACCUUUAUUAACACACAUAUUCUACUGCUCUCUCUCUUCUGGCGUUGUCCCUGUAAAACUGUGUGUGUGUAUAUGCACACACACACACACGUAAUCUUAUAAAUUAUUAUAGUUAUAAUAUAUAUAUAUAUACACACACAAACAUCAGUAUGAUACACAUAUGUUAAUAGACAUAUGCAUACAUAAUACACAUUUGUAGAUUACACACGUAUAUAAAUGUAACAAGGGUUUUACAUUUUUCAAAGGGUUAUUCACAAAAUUUUUCAUUUUAGAAAGUGAAAAUCUAAAUUGCAUAAUUUAGACCAAAAUAGCGGAUUUGAAAAAUCCAAACUUCGCCAUAGGGACAGCUUGAAUAUUAUAGCCUAAUUUUUGAAAUGUAUUCACAAAAAUUAUUAGUUUAGUCGAUAACCCCGCCCUUCUCUCAGUCUUUCAUUCCCUGGUAUCAAACUAUAUCCAACGCAGAGUGCACUCAUAGGAUUGAGGACUAAACAAAAUAAGAUUAAUUUAAAUUAGACAUGCAGCAGCUAUCAGUCAAUGACUAUUCAAGUUUUGGGGAUGAAACGUUGGGUAAAUAAUUUUCAAUCCUUUGUGUUUUUCCACCUGUAUAUCUGUCACAGUUGGCACAAUUAAUUAUUUAUUUAUAAAAUAUUUUAUUUAUUUAUAAAAUAUUUUACCAGGAAAGAUACAUUGAGAUUUCUCUCGUUUUCAAGUAUGUCCUGGGUUAGGGCUGGUGUAAAAAAAUUCCAGGGCUGCUUUUUAUUCCCAGUCCGGCCCUGUCCACAUAAGUCCAUCCUUGCAAGCGCACUGUCUUGGCGUCAUACUUGAUUCUGGAGUCACAUUUGAGCCUCACAUCCAGUAUGUUGCCAAAUCCUGUAGAUUCCAUCUUAAAAGCAUAGCCCGCAUCCGCCCCUUUCUUACACAAAAUGCUACCAAGGAGAUUGUCCAUGCUCUAGUAAUUUCAAGCAUGGAUUAUUGUAACUCUCUCCUAAUUGGUCUUCCCAAUAGCCGUAUUGCCCCGCUACAGUCUGUAAUGAAUGCUGCCGCCAGACUGAUUUUCCUCUCCAGUCAGUCCUCUCACAUCUCACCCCUCUGACAGUCCUUACAUUGGCUUCCUGUAUCCUAUAGGAGUCAAUUCAAAGUACUAACCCAUACCUAUAAAGCAGUGAACAAUUCUAGCCCCUCUUAUAUCUCUUCACAGAUCCAUAGAUAUGCCCCUUCUCGGCCUCUCUACUCUGCCCGUGACCUUCUCCUGUCCAUUGUUCGCAGCCAUAUGGCCAACUCGCGCUUGCAGAACUUCUCGCGGACGGCUCCCUUCCUAUGGAAUAGCCUGCCUACCGCCGUCAGUCUCUCCUAUAGUCUUGCAUCUUUUAAGAAGUGCCUUAAAACCCAUCUCUUUAGGAAAGCUUAUGGCCUCAAAGACUAACCUCUACCUCAUAUACCUGUCUCUUGCUCUCUCCUAUAGGGCAGCACUCUACUUUCUCAUCCAGCUCUGCUUCACUCCCACCUUAUUUGAUUGAUAUUUCCUGUCCCAAUGUGUUUUAUACCACACAUCCUAUAGAAUGUAAGCUCGUUUGAGCAGGGUCCUCUUCAACCUAUCGUUCCUGUAAGUUUUCUUGUAAUUGUCCUAUUUAUAGUUAAAUCCCCCCUCUCAUAAUAUUGUAAAGUGCUACGAAAUCUGUUGGCGCUAUAAAAAUGGUGAUAAUAAUAAUAAUAAUAUGUGUAUCACAGUGAGUAUGUGUGGCACUAUAUGUGUAUAUGUGCAUAAAUCUCACCAUUCAAAUGCCAACACUACACACAAAUACACCCCUACAUUCAAACAUUAACAUUACAAACACCACUGCAUUGAAAUGUCAACAUACAAACAUACCAAAAUUAUAUACAACACCACCCCUGCGUUCAAAAAACAACACUACACAUAAAUGCAUGCUUGCAUUCAAACGCCAACGCUACAUACAAACACGCCCCUACAUUCACUCAAACAUACUCCAUUCAAAGACAUGCUUGUAUUCAAACACACAAACACUGCUCAGUGUUAAGUACAACUGUACAAGGAUGGGAAAAUGGUAGAGCGCCAGCUGUCAAAGCAUUGUUGGAGUUGUACGACAGAUGGGGAUCUAACUUUUGGCCACCCUUGUUGAUAGGGUUGGUCCCAAAAAAAGUCUUGCUCCAAGGCCCUCUCUACUUCAGUUCCGCCACCGCAUGGGGCCCUUCUCUGAUCCUUGCAUCAGACCUUUGUGAUUCAUAGUUCUACCCCUGCCUGGCAAUAUUUACUUAUUGGGAUAAUCCCCUCCCGAUAGUUUGAUUGACAGCUGAAAUGAGGCCAACUUGGUACUGUAUGCCUCUUGAAAUCAGUACUUUUAUAAAGUCUGACGGAGGGACAUGCCAUUAACCCCUAAAUCACCAAGCUGUGACCCUGACGGUUGGAUAGGUAGCUGUUUAAUUGGAUGUCUUUCAUUGUCUCUCUCUGUCUGUCUCUCCCUCUCUUUUUAUAGGUCUCUUUUCCUCUGUCAUUCAUUUAUUGCUGAUGGUCUAACCUCAUAUUUUGUAUUCUUUAAUGUUUAAACUUAAAUCAAAUAAAAGAUAAUUAAUUAUGCUUUUUGUAGUUUUCCCACAUCAUUUGUUAUUUUCCCCUCUCAUUUUCGCUCUGCUUGUGUCCAUAAAUAAUCUGUUCGAUGCACAGCCUGUGAUAAGGACAGUAUUUAUCGAGAACAACAAAACACAGCAAAUAUUGUUGUCAUAUACCUUUAUUUAGCCUCACGGCUAUGGCAAAUGACUUAAUGUCACCCUGAGCAUAUCAGAAGAGGUGAUGUAAACUUUACUCUAGAUGCCGGGCGUCUAAUGCUUUCCACUAAUGGAUUUAAUAAAUUAUAAGACAGAAACCGACAUAGACAAAAUCACAAAAGAUCAAUAUUCUGUUUUAAUCUUUACAGAAGAAACUCCAGUAAUUCAUUGACAUCAUGGUUGGGAAGGGGGGAUUAGGAACUAGAAUCAGUAGGAUUAUAAAGACACGGUGAUAAACCAUUUAAAUUCUCAAUCUUAUUUCGUGCUAGCUUGCAUUCGGUCUGUAUAAGGAACGUUUAUCACCCUGCUCAUCCUCCUGCUUAAUGGACUACCUGUGUCCAAAGAAACAAAGUAAUAAAAUAAUUAUAAAUGAUUAGACAAACUUGGGUUUGUGCACAAUAUGGAAGAAUAGAGAGCUAGACUCCGUUACACAUGUAGGAUCUGGUACCCCUGGAAAGCGUACUUUGUCUGCUGGUGUCCAUUUAAUGGUCUGGUUCCCUGUUGGGUGUUUUCUUCCUUCAAUCACACAAUAGAGCCAACUGCUCCUUUUGUGGUCUUUCUGCAUCGCAAUGAAUCUUUAUUGGCUGGUCCCACAUGUCCUUCUCCCCUCCUCCCUGACUCGUUGGCAUCGUAAUGUUUCUAUUUUUUUCUUUGUUCAUUGUUGCUUUUUUCUGUUGCUGGUUCCAGGAUGUCCAACUCAACACCUUCAUCCUCAUGUGUUGCUGAUUUCUCUAUUUUCUGUCUUUGCCAAAUACUGUGGUAGACAGUUUAUUUUAAAAAAAAAUGUGAAGGAGCAUGUGACCUUUGUCAACUCAAUUUUACCAUGGGGGUAGUUACAUAGCACUCUAGGUUGAAAAAAGACUAAAGUCCAUCAAGGUCAGACUUUAAAACCGAUUCCUUUCUGGUAUUGAUCCAAAAGAAGGCAAAAAAAAAAUUGUAGUGAUUUCCAAUGAGGCUAUAAAAAAGCUUUAAAAAAAAAAAUCUAUAGAAUCUGAUAAGACAACUUCAUUAAGCAGAGGAUUUCUUUUUUUGUUCUUACUGUAAAGAACCCUUUUCUCUGCUGUAGGUGAAAUCACUUUUCUUCCAGUCUCUCGUCUGUUGAGCAGGUUGGCAGAUAGUGGUUUGCACCGACCCUGUAUAUAUUUGUAUAGUGGUAUCAUAUGCCCUCUGAAUCACCUUUUUUUCUGAAGAAAAGAAAUCUAGUUUUGUAUCCUUUCUUCAUAACUGUUUUCUAUCUUCCUUAUUAAUUUUGUAGCUCAAUUCUGCACUUUUUCUAGUUCUGCAAAAUCCUUCUUUAAAAAUGCUGCCCACAAUUGCACCCAAUAUUCAAGGUGGGGUCUUACCAAUGAUUCAUGAUCUUACCGUUGAUUUAUAAUGAUUCAUGAAACACCAUUGUACCACAAAGUAGUAAAAGUGGAACACUCUCCAUGUCAUUCCAUUGAUGGCUUUUCCUCUUUCUACAGUUUCACAUAGUUUUUUAGAUCAAAAUACUUUGAUAUAUUUCCCCUGUGUGUUUUUAUUCCAAUUUAUACGUUAUUUUGCAUGUUUUUGUUUUGUGUUUUUAAAAUGUGAUCAUGGGUCCUUCUUUACCUGCUUCGUUCUACCCAUUCCUUUUAUCAAUAAACCAAUACCUGCCAUCGGGGUUGAAGGACCACAAAAGGCACCAAGCCAGUUUUAUCUCAAUGAAGAGAUCUGGGUGUAGUGGCCCUAUCAUUUGAACCCUUCAGUGAAAAGCAUUUCUGUUUUUGGAGGGUGAAAUAUACCUCUAGUGAUGGUUUACUGACUGUCUCUAGAACCAGUUCUUCAAUCAAAUGCAAUUAAUAGAGAUUAAGCAUGUGCAUGGGGAAAAUUUUCGGUUCGGCAUUCUGAAAUUCGGGACUUCGGCAAUUCGGGACUUCGGCAAUUCGGGACUUCGACACUUCGGAAUUUCGGCAUUUCAGGACUAUGGCACUUCGGGACUUCUCUUGCAGCCGCUUAGUAGAUAACUCCCUAAUUCCCACAGUAUUAGGGAGUUAUCUACCAAAAGGCUGAAAGACCUAAACUGGUCUUUCAGCCAAAUUUACUAAUACUAAGUAAAAAUUACUUAGUAUUAGUAAAUUUUGCCCCUACUCACUAUACCGCGAGUAGGGGCAUAUCUGUUAAGCAGUGAGCAGCCACCCGCGUCCCCAACGCGCGAGUGGGGGCUUUUAAACUAAAGGAGGUUCUAUGGAAUUUUCCCACGCUGUGUAAUUUGACUCAUAACAACACUCUGAUUGAUGGAUUGAAAGUAACCAAUCAGAGAGUUAUGAGUCAAAUUACACAGCGUGGGAAAACUUUCCCACGCUGUGUAAAAUGACACAGAGCAUUCUGAUUGGUGGAUUUCAAACUAACCAAUCAGAGUGCUGUGACAGGUAAAAGUAGAGACUAACCUGUCAGUCUCUUCAUUUAACUGUCAGAGCACUCUGAUUGGAUGGCUUAAACCCACCAAUCAGAGUGCUCUGAGCCUAAUUGCAGGGUGGGGCAAGACUCUAUAAGCCUUCCCCCGCCCUGCAGAGCUCAGUCUGCGCGGAGCCCUCCAUGGGUGAAGAAGGAUUUUUUUUUUUUUUUUAAAGUGCGUCAGUUAUUCUGGAUUUUUAUUUGGCCUUAUUUGGGGCUGAAAAAAGAAGAUUUUAGAAGAAAGAAAACAUCAAAUGGUAAGUUUUUUUUUUUUAACAGAUACUUAGUUAAUGCCCCCCCAUCAUUAUUUUUAGGGUGAGGGGGAUAGCUAGGGGUUAGUUUUUUUAGGGAGGGGGUAACUAGGGAUUUGGGAACCCUAGUCACCUGGGGGGGUUACUUUUUUAUUUUUAGGGGUGGGGGCCAGGGGGGAGGACAAUAGGUCCCCCCCCAUUAGUAUUUAGGGCCCCCACCCACCACUCAGAAGUGGGGGGCAGGGAGGAGGACAUUAGGUCCCCCCCUUAUUUUAAUUUAGGGCCCUCACCCAUUGCUCAGGGGUGGGGGUCAGGGGGGAGGAUAUUAGGUCCACCGCCCUUAUUAGUAUUUAGGGCCCCCAACCGCCGCUCAGAAGUGGUGGGCAGGGGGGAGGACAUUAGGUCCCCCCCUUAUUCUAAUUUAGGGCCCCCACCUGCCGCUCAGGGGUAGGGGCCAGGGGGGAGGACAUUAGGUUCCCCCCCUUAUUAUAAUUUAGGGCCCCCACCCGCAGCUCAGGGGUGGGGGCCAGGGGGAGGACAUUAGGUCCCCCCUUAUUCUGAUUUAGGGCCCCCACCCGCUGCUCAGGGGUGGGGGCCGAGGGGAGGACAAUAGGCACCACUUAUUCUAAUUUAGGUCCCCCACCCACCGCUCAUGGGUGGGGUCCGGGGGGAGGACAAUAGGUCCCCCCCUUAUUUAACUUUAGGGCCCCCAUCCGCCGUUCAGGGGUGGGGGCGGGGGGGGCAAUAGGCACCCCUUAUUCUAAUUUAGGUCCCCCACCCACCGCUCAUGGGUGGGGUCCGGGGGGAGGACAAUAGGUCCCCCCCCUUAUUUAAUUUUGGGGGCUCGGGAGGGGGGGACAUUUUUUUUUUUUUAACAGUGACCAGUCAUGGGCUGCUCACUGUUUAAUAGACAUGUCCCUACUCGCGGUAUAGCGAGUAGGGGCAUGACUUACUAAAACUAAGUAAUUUUUACUUAGUAUUAGUAAAUUUGGCUGAAAGACCAAUUUAGGCAAAAUAAAGCAUUAUCUAUUUAAUUAAUUAACCAGUGAGUGUCUUUUUUAACGAGUUACAAAAAAACUCUUUCACCCCAUUCCGAUGUCUGCUAAUUUCUGACACAACGUGUCUGUCCGACUGUGCAGCGUUGGCUUCUCAGCUUGGAGUGCUGUUUGGCCAGGUACAAAAGGUUCUGUUCUUGGAUUUGUCAUUUGCGUUGGAUACAGUCAAUCACUUGCUCCAACUCCUGAAACUUCUCAGAGUUUAGCAGAGACUGAUUUACCAUUUCCCCAUUCCCAAUGUACUCUGCAAACAGUCAGCCAUCGGCUUAGCUGCUCCAUAUCAUCCAAAUUUCAUGUUUCUUAUUUCGAUCAUAGUUUAGACGAUGCCUGAAAUUUCUCUCUGAUCCUCGGUUAAAUCCUCUGAAACAAAUAAUGUGGGAUAACUAAUUCUGUUAUAUGUAUGGAGAUUAGAAUUUACUAUUGUGAACUAUGUAAAACUUAAUCACAUUAUCUAACGUACAUCGGGUCUAAAAUUCCUUUCAUAAGACAACAUGAAAUUUCAGAAUGUUAAAAUAUCCCCAUUUGCAUUCCGUUCCUAUCUGUAGGAAUAAUAUACAAGACAUGACAAAUAUAAUCCCAUUUCCACAUGUGAUUUCAGCUUUUUAACCAGACUCUGCGAGUCGAGAACGCUCAAAUUAAAGGAGAUAUGUAAUGUAUGAUUGUCACUGCAUCGUCACUCAGCGAUGUCAGAACUGACGGAACUCUGGGAUGAAGUUUUUAAAAUCUGUUAUGCAGUGGUUUCCUUUUAAUUAGAAAUUAAUACAAGUGUCUUACCAGCCCAGCCCAGCCCAGGGGGAGAGGUGAGGUGCUGUUAACUUCUAUUCACCAGGCUGGAGGUUGGUGUUAAUGUGAGGUUUAACAGCAAAAAUAGGGAUACCGGUUGGAAACCAGUCUCUAACUACCAGUGAUCGGAUUCCACUGGGAAUAAAGGACGGUGUUGGCCGCUAUUAGGCUGGUAAUUCUUUGUCGCUACUGGUGUGGAUACAGAGGGUGCAAUCUACGUGUACCAAGGAGAACUUCAUUCAUGUCAAACUGCCUCAAACUAGUGUGUCAUACGCUCAUAGCAUCAACACUGACACAAUGAAUAAUCAAGUCAUACCGUUUGCACUACAAGAGGAAUAUCGUUUUGGGCUGUUUUAUUCCUUUUGACAUAACCCCCGAGAAUUUCCCACUAAAGCACGGUUUCACAGAACACAUAGGGCCACGCCACCCUCGCUGAUUGAGUUAUUGCAUUCAAUGUUAUUUCUAAUGUUCCCUAAGACUUACACAAGAUAUGUCAUUGAUAAUUCGUAUUGAUUUGCUUCUCUGCCCGGCCAUAUAAAAGAGAAAAAUGAUGACUUUCCGGGACCUGCGUGUCCUACUACUCUGCAUUUUGAUAUUGCUGUUGGACUCCAAUAAAACCUUAAUUCACAAUAAAAAUCAAAAUACUGCCACAAUGAGCUAUAGUGGUUUUUAUUUGUGAAUCCUCGUACUCUAAUACUUUGUACAGGAUUCUGAUGCGAAAGCUCCAAUUUUAAUCUAGACUAUAAAUCCCUAUUCACAUUUAAAUAACUGGAGGCUUUUAGUAUCACCCCAGUGGCCAGUAGAGUGUAAUGCCUUUAAACCUCCAGUUAUUUAGAUGUGCAUAGGGAAUUGGGAUAGUGCGCAAUUCCCUAUGCAUGUAGGGAGGCUGACGUGUUCUAUAGUCCUUGCUUCCGCCCAGGAGUAGUGGGAGUUUGAGCGCAGGGCUUCAUUCUGUAUGUUUGAUUGCUGCAGAUUGGCUCAUGGAGACAAAAUUCCAACUAUAUUUGGCCUGAGUAAAAGUGAGAAUUUGGUGCCACUAUAAAUGGAUUUAUAAGCAAUUAUACAGAUUACAGAGGCACUUCAAGAUGUCUUUGUGUGCAGCGUGUGGUGGCUAAACUCUAUAACACGAUCGCUUUCUACACAAGGACGAACGUACACAUUGUAAGCGGCUUCAUAUGGAGAGGUUUCAGCGUUCGUCUUAAUCCUGACAACUCUAAUUAGUAAAUAACAAGACAAAUAAACAGUUCAAGCAGUGACGGACUUCUUACCCCAUUUUAAUUAUGAUUUACCUUCUUAAUAAAGCAUAUUUGCAUACACUUCUAUUUAUGAACUAAUUAGCAUCUGGAACACAAAGUAACUUGCCCAAUGUGACAUUGAGUUUAGACUCUCGGCCCAUUCAUUAAAAGCCCUAAAAAAAAAUACAUAAAAAUGCUCUCUGAUCCCUAAUUGUUUUAAAGGAACAAUAAAGGCAUUAUUUUUCCAGUAAAAUAUCCCAAAUAUAAUUUUUUAUUACUUCCAAUGUAUUAAAUAGUGUUAAAGGAAGACUGUAAAGUUUGACUCCCACUUACUUUGGUUGCUGACCGUAGAAUCCAACUCUGCCAGUGUUCCAUGCUGUCAUAGGGUGAUACAUGCGCUCAGCAUUAAAAUUGGAGUCGUCUUAGCACCUGUCAUACAAACAAACCUGACCAUCCAUGCCGGGCCAGACUGAGGAUACAAUGAUACACUGAUUAUUUCAAAUGAUAAAUGUUGUGGUGUGCUGCUCUGCUAAAUAAGAGGAAAUGUGUCUCUGUAUUUACACGGCAUUUUAGUACGGAAUUGGAACUCUAGUGUAAAACCGUUGGGAUAAUUCUUAUAAUCAAUAGAGAUUCCAAGCUAGAAUGGAAGAGGUAUUAGCCUUACUAUAAUAAACUCAGGGAAAAACAUACCGUAUGGUAGAACGGGUCAAAAAGAAUAAACUUAAGUAAUUAAAGACUGUUUAUAGUUAUAUUCCUUUAUAGCUGACCCCUAGGGCAUCUAUAUCGCCUCCACCUAAUAGUCUAUUUUAUAUACGUCAGUUUGAUUUUUGUUAAAUGUUGUUUAUUUUUUUAAUGGAAAUAAAUUUUGUUUAUAUUAUACAUGAAGGGAAAUUGUAUUAUUAUUAUUAUCUAUAAAGCGCCAACAAAUUCCACAUCUAACAGACACAUAUUUAUAACCAGACGAGUUGGACACACAGUAACAGAGGGAUUGAGGGCCCUGCUCGAUGAGUUUACAUGUUUGAGGGAGUGGGGUAUAGUGACACAGUAACAGAGGCAGUGGUGUACACAUGACCCAUGGGGCCCCGGUGCGAAAAUUGAUCCGUGGGCCCCCCCCCGCGCUUACUAGGCGCGGGUCGGGGCCGCAACACAUGGCUGCGGGCACCUGGUCGCAGGGGUUGCAGGGCUGCGACCCCGCGACCGCGGCAUGCACACACACUUAAAGGACCACUACAGACACCCAGAUCACAUCAGCUCAAUGAAGUGGUCUGUGUGCCAGGUCCCUCUGGUUUUAACCCUGCAGCUGAAAACAUAGCCGUUUCAGAGAAACGGCUAUGUUUCACUGGGGGUUAAUCCAGCCUCUAGUGGCUGUCUCAUUGACAGCGGCUAGAGGAGCUUCCGCAAUUCUCACUGUGAAAAUCACAGUGAGAAGACACUGAACGCCCAUAGGAAAGCAUUGAGUAAUGCUUUCCUAUGGGCGGUUUAAAUGCGCGCGCGCCUCUUGCCGCGCAUGUGCAUUCGGAGCUGAGAGGAGGAGGGAUCCCCAGCGCCAAGGGAGUCCGACGCUGGAGAAAGGUAAAUGCUGGAGACACACACUCUCACGAACAGACGCAUACACACUAGCUAACAGACACACACACACACAUACACACUCACAAAACAUACACUUUCACUGACAAACACACACUCACUAACAGACAUCAAACACACUCAGUAACAGACACACACAGUAACACACUCACUAGCAGACACACACCCAAUAACAGACACACUCACUGACACACACCCUAACACACACACACACACACACACUAACACUAACAUACACACAAACACACACACACAAACACUAACAUACACACACACUAACAUACACACACACACACACACACUAACACACACACACACACNNNNNNNNNNNNNNNNNNNNNNNNNNNNNNNNNNNNNNNNNNNNNNNNNNNNNNNNNNNNNNNNNNNNNNNNNNNNNNNNNNNNNNNNNNNNNNNNNNNNGGGCCUGCUCAGUGAGUUUACAUGUUAGAGGGAGUGGGGUAUAGUGACACAGUAACAGAGGGAUUGAGGCCCCUGCUCAGUGAGUUUACAUGUUACAGGGAGUGGGGUAUAGUGACAGUAACAGAGGGAUUGAGGCCCUGCUCAGUGAGUUUACAUGUUAGAGGGAGUGGGGUAUAGUGACACAGUAACAGAGGGAUUGAGGGCCCUGCUCAGUGAGUUUACAUGUUAGAGGGAGUGGGGUAUAGUGGACACAGUAACAGAGGGAUUGCGGGCCCUGCUCAGUGAGUUUACAUGUUAGAGGGAGUGGGGUAUAGUGACACGGUAACAGAGGGAUUGAGAGCCCUGCUCAGUGAGUUUACAUGUUAGAGGGAGUGGGGUAUAGUGACACACAGUAACAGAGGGAUUGCGGGCCCUGCUCAGUGAGUUUACAUGUUAGAGGGAGUGGGGUAUAGUGACACGGUAACAGAGGGAUUGAGAGCCCUGCUCAGUGAGUUUACAUGUUAGAGGGAGUGGGGUAUAGUGACACAGUAACAGAGGGAUUGAGGACCCUGCUCAGUGAGUUUACAUGUUGUUAGAGGGAGGUGGGGGCAUAGUGACACACACAGUAGCAAGAGAGGGAUUGAGGCCUGCUCAGUGAGAGUUUACAUGUUAGAGAGUGGGAAUAUAGUGACACAGUAACGAGAGGGAUUAGAGGUCACUGCUCAGUGAGUUUACAUGUUAGGAGUAGGUAUAGUGAGCAGCAACACUUAGAGGGAUUGAGGGAGCCUGCUCAGUGAGUUUACAUGUUGGGGAGUGGGGGUAUAGUGACACAGUAACAGAGAGUUGAGGGGCCCUGCUCAGUGAGUUUACAUGUGGGGAGUAGGUAUAGUGACACAGCAGAGGUUGAGGCCCUGCUCAGUGAGCUUACAUGUUAGAGGGAGUGGGAGUAUAGUGACACAGCAAGAGGAUUGAGGGAAUACUCAGUGAGUUUACAUGUUAGAGGGAGUGGGGUAUAGUGACAGUAACAGAGGGAUUGAGCCCUGCUCAGUGAGUUUACAUGUUAGAGGGAAUGGGGUAUAGUGACACAGUAACAGAGGGAUUGAGGGCCCUGCUCAGUGAGUUUACAUGUUAGAGGAAGUGGGGUAUAGUGACACAGUAACAGAGGGAUUGAGGGCCCUGCUCAGUGAGUUUACAUGUUAGAGGGAGUGAGGUAUAGUGACACAGUAACAGAGGGAUUGAGGGCCUGCUCAGUGAGUUUACAUGUUAGAGGGAGUGGGG
Molecule: long non-coding RNA, 68706 nt
Filed under: Pelobates cultripes (western spadefoot toad)
Lineage: Eukaryota; Metazoa; Chordata; Amphibia; Anura; Pelobatidae
Source: RNAcentral